This 63491-nucleotide long non-coding RNA is filed under the name Gossypium barbadense (sea-island cotton). RNAcentral's name for it is "long non-coding RNA (GBAR_LNC022098)". The stretch from base 57525 to 57660 matches the Rfam family "MIR7502 microRNA precursor family". The record is from RNAcentral. Lineage: Eukaryota; Viridiplantae; Streptophyta; Magnoliopsida; Malvales; Malvaceae.
GUGUAUUUUCGUUAAUGCAAUCUCCGUCCCUUAUUUUACAGAUUUAAUGGCCUUUUAUAGGCCGAAAAGGAAAAAAAUAAAAUAAAUAAAUCAUAUAUUUUGCUUGUUUUUCUCAUCCGGACUCUUUGAGUCCGUAUUUGCAGGUGAAAGUGGAGCAAAUGGCGCUCGUGGGGUGGUCGACUCCGUGACGUGCAGCGCCUGGGAUCUGCUGGCGGCGUCGGGGCAGACAUUCGGCUAGGGUUCUUUUUGUUUUUUGUUUUGCUUUGGGCCAGGGCUAUUUUGAGCCACUUAUUUGUUGGGUUAAUACUAUUUUCUUUUUUUGUUUUUAAACCCAGGCCGAUUGGGCCUUAUUACAGCUGCCCCUCUUUGCUCAUUGUCGUGUAACGAGAACAGAGCAAAGACUAUAAGGCCCAAUUGCGCCUGGCCAUAUUGAGCCUUAACUUUUUCAGUGCUUCUCUUCUAAUAGCCUUGUUCCUUCCUACUGCAUCUUUAGAGGUAUAGGAACUGGUGCUCCAAUCUAUCCCACUGGAAUGUCGGGGAGAUAGGAUUCAUAUGUUGUAGCUCCUCAAAAGAACAAAAUCUGCUAUCUUUAAUCUGCUCCACUGCAACUUCAGGGAGAUAAGACUUAUAGCUUCAACUUGUUCUGUUACAACUUAAGGGUAAAUCUGAUGUGAUCUGCUCUACUGCAACUUCAGAGAUAUGAGAUCUGUGGUUUUAGUCCACUCCAUUGCAACUCCUGGGAGAUAGGACCGAUUAUUUCUGUCUGCUCCACUGCAACUUCAGGGAGAUAAGACUUGUAUCUUCGAUCUACUUCACCACCAGUAUGGGAAGACAAUAUCUGCUUUCUUCGAUCUACUUCACGCCAAUACAUGAAGACAAGAUCUGCUUUCUUCGAUCGAUUCUACUGCCGACCGAGGAGAUAGAAUUACUGGCUUCAAUAUACUCCACUGCAACCUCAGGGAGGUAAAAUCUGCCAUCUUUGAUCUGCUCCACUACUGCUUAGGGAGAUAAGAUCUGUAAUCUUCAAUCUGCUUCACCACCAGUAUGGGAAGAUAAAAUCUGUAUAUUCGAUCCACUUCGCUACCGAUAUAGGAAGACAAGACCUACUAUCUUUGAUCUGUUUCACGCCGGUACAUGAAAACAAGAUCUGCUUUCUUUGAUUUGCUUCGCCACCAGUAUGGGUAAGCAAGAUCUGGUAUCUCUGAUCUACUUCACGCCAAUACAUGAAGACAAGAUCUGCUUUCUUUGAUCUGCUCCGCCACCAGUAUGGGAAGGCAAGAUCUGCUUUCUUCGAUCUACUCUACCACCUGUACGGGGAGACAAGAUCUGGUAUCUAUGAUUUACUUUACGCCAGUACAUGAAGACAUGAUCUGUUAUCUUUCAACCUGCUCCACUGUUGCUCAGGGAGAUAAGGCUCUAUGAUUUCACGAAUCUGCUCUCUGUGAAACAUGACCUGUAUGAUUCACUUUAUGAGCCUAAUUAUGCCUAAUGAUUAGGAUGUUAUGAUCAGAAUGAAUCAAAUGCUCCUAACUAGGCGUGUAAGAAUGACAUUUGAAUGUUAUGUCAUGAAAAAUGAAUAUUGAAUGUUUAAAGUCAUUAUUGCUCAUUAAGGCCUCCUUCGUGGCAACAACGCUUCGUCAAAACUUGAAAAUUUUAAAAUCUCGACUCUUGGCUCCUAGAUAUCUCUGACCUUUUAACCCGGUGAAGGUCUAAACAACAGUCUUGUUUCAGGUUCCUGAGUUAUUUAAAGAUUUCUAGAGUAAUAUGAAAAACUUCCCCUGUGAAAGUUUUAUUAGUCCAUUAAUCGUUACUCUAAUGCAACAUGUUUGCGAAAAGAUUACAACGAUGAAUAAAACAAAAUUAAUUUGGGAGCAUAGCUCGCAAUGGAUUGAAUUGUCUGGGGACAUUUAUAUUGAAGAAGAAUGAAAUAUUCUAAAACAACGAAUUCAAUACAAAUACUGUGAUCAGGUGCCCCAGAUAUCUUUUCUUGAAUUUCUCUAUACAAUUUUUCGAAGACCCUUCUGAAUUCAACAAGUGUUUAGGGGAUUCACAGUAUUUUGUUGAUGCCCCAAGAUGUCGUCUAUUCCUUUCUGCCGAUUUAGGUACAACAAGACUACCACGCGACAAUCAAAAUUUGAGUCGCCCUUUUCGGGUUUUCAACUCAAAUCCCCAUUGGUCUUAAGGUGCCCUUUGCGGAUUUUCAACCUAGCCUCUCCCUUCUUUUUUUUUGGAAUCAAAGCGCCCUUUGCGGGUUUUCACCUUGGUUCCUUCCCUUCUUCAAGUAAAGUACCUCUUCACCGAAUCUGAAUUUACCGAAUUAGGCAAGUUUUUUCCAUCCAUUUCAGCCAGGAUCAAGGCUCCUCCAGAAAAGGCCUUUUUUACAACAUAAGGACCCUCCCAAUUCGGCAUUCAUUUCCCCCUAAAAUCCUUUUGUAGAGGAAGAAUUUUUCUCAACACCAGGUCCCCCUCGUGAAAUUCUUUGGGUCAGACUUUCUUGUUGUAGGCUCGCAUCAUUCUUUUCUGGUACAUCUGACCAUGCUGAAUAGCCUUUAGCCUCUUUCCCUCUAUCAAGUUCAACUGAUCGUAUUGAGAUUGAACCCAUUCUCCUUCAUCCAAUUGUACUUCAGACAAAACCCGGAGAGAAAGGACUUCAACUUCGAUGGGCAAGACUGCCUCCAUGCCAUAAACUAAGGAGAAAGGCGUUGCCCCGGUGGAGGUCCUGGUUGACGUUCGAUAAGCAAGGAGGGCAAAAGGUAAUUUCUCGUGCCAGUCCCUGUAAGUCUCAGUCAUAUUUCCUACAAUCUUCUUUAUAUUUUUAUUGGCCGCUUCUAUCGCACCAUUCAUUUUCGGGCGAUACGGCGACGAAUUGUGAUGUCUGAUCUUGAAUUGACUGCAGACCUCUGCUAUUGAGCUAUUGUUCAAAUUCAGCGCAUUGUCGGAUAUAAUUCUUUCAGGCAUUCCAUACCGACAUAUGAUCUCUCUCUUCAAGAACUUACUGACUGAUGACUUUGUAACAUUAGCAUACGAAGCAGCUUAUACCCAUUUGGUGAAGUAGUCAAUAACCACGAAUACGAAACGAUGCCCAUUUGAAGCCUUCGGCGAUAUUGGCCCGAUAACAUCCAUACCCCACAUAGAGAAAGGCCAUGGAGAAGUCAUGACAUGAAGAUGUGAAGGAGGUGCAUGCAUUUUAUCACCAUAGAUUUGACAUUUAUGGCACUUCUUGGAAUAAUUGAUGCAAUCCCCUUCCAUGGUAGACCAGUAGUACCUGAAUCUCAUAAUCUGUCUGGCCAUUGUGAAACCACUAGCAUGCAUUCCACAGAUGCCCUCAUGGACUUCCUCCAAGAUUUUCUUUGCUUCCACAGCUUCCACACAUCUUAGCAGAACUUGAUCCUUUCCCCUAUUGUAUAAGAUCUCCCCAUCUAAGACGUAAUCAAUGGCUAGUCUUCUCAGAGUUCUCUUUUCAUUCUCUGUUGCCUGGCCAGGAUACUCACGAUUUUUUACAUAUUGUAGCAUAUCUUGAUACCAGGGACUAUCAUCGAUUUCUCCUUCUUCAAUAUUGUAACAAUGAGCCGGGUCUUCAUAGAUACUCAUUUGGAUAGGCUUCAUAUCCUCAUGUCUGUUCACCUUGAUCAUGGAGGCUAAAGUAGCUAGUGCAUCAACCAUCUGGUUCUCAUCUUAUGGGAGAUAGCAAAAAGUGAUGUCCUCAAACUCCCUAAUCAAUUCGAGGACCAACUUUCGAUAACUGAUUAACUUGGGAUCUCUCAUUUCCCAUUCACUCCUGAGCUGAUAUAUCACCAAUGCUGAAUCUCUAUAGACCUCUGGCACUUUGAUUUUCCGUUCUAUAGCUACACGAAUACCCAUGAUGUAUACUUCGUAUUCUGCCAUGUUGUUUGUACAAUCAAAAUCCAAUUUGCAAGUGAAAGGAUAAUGAUCACCAUUCGACGACACUAGGACUGCCCCAAUUCCAUUGCCCACAGCGUUCGAGGCUCCAUCAAAGUUUAACCUCCAACCGUGACCUUUUUGGGGAUUUUCCUCAGUAGCCGCUAUACACAUCAGGUCUUCAUUUGGGAAAUCAAAACUCAACGGCUCGUAGUCCUCCAGAGCUUUACUAGCUAGAAAGUCAGCAAUUGCACUCCCUUUCACAGCCUUCUGCCUCACAAAAACAAUAUCAAAUUCAGACAGUAAGAUCUGCUAUCGGGUCAUUCUCCCAUUCAAAGCAGUUGACUCCAUCAUAUACUUUAACGGGUCUAACUUUGAGAUUAGCCAAGUCGUAUGGUAUAACAUGUACUGCCUUAAUCUUCGGGUUGUCCAAAUCAAGGCAGAACAUAACUUCUCAAUAGGCGAAUAUCUCAUUUCACAGUCAGUGAAUUUCUUGCUGAGAUAGUAUAUCGCCCUUUCUUUUCUCCCCGUUUCAUCAUGUUGGCCUAGCACACAUCCCAUACAAUUAUCAAAUACUGUCAGAUACAAUAUCAGCGGCCUAUCCAGGCUAGGUGGUGACAGCACUGGAGUGUUAGACAAAUACUGCUUCACAUUGUUAAAAGCUUCUUCGCAUUCUUCAUCCCAAGUACCAGGAUUAUAUUUCUUCAGAAGACGAAAUAUAGGGUCACAUUUCUCAGUCAGUUGUGAAAUGAACCUAGCGAUGUAAUUCAGUCUUCCGAGGAAACCUCAAACUUUUUUCUGCGUACGAGGUGGAGGUAAAUCUCGUAUUGCCUUGACUUUGUCUGGGUCAAUCUCGAUUCCCUUCUCACUGACUAGGAAGCCUAGUAACUUUCCUGACCUGGCCCCGAAAGUGCACUUCGCUGGAUUAAGCUUGAGCUGGAACUUCCUUAAUCUUAAGAAUAAUUUUCUCAAGACCCGCACAUGUUCGCCCUCCGUUCUAGAUUUCGCGAUCAUAUCAUCAACGUAAACCUCGAUUUCCCUGUGCAUCAUGUCAUGGAACAAGGCUACCAUGGCUCUUUGGUAUGUCGCUCCGACAUUCUUCAAUCCAAACGGCAUCACUUUAUAACAAAACGUCCCCCAUAACGUAAUGAACGUAGUCUUUCUCAUGUUCUCGGGAUGCAUCUUUAUCUGAUUAUACCCAGAAAAAACAUCCAUGAAGGAAAACAAUGAAAAAUCCGCAGUGUUGUCUACCAAUGCGUCGAUGUGGGGCAAUGGGAAGUUAUCCUUUGGACUAGCCUUGUUCAAAUCCCGAUAAUCCACACAUAUUCGUACUUUUCCAUCUUUCUUUGGAACUGGUACGAUGUUAGCCACCCACUCAGAAUACUUGACUUCUUGCAGAAAUCUGGCAUCAAACUACUUUUGGACCUUUUCCUUUAUCUUCAACACGAUAUCAAGCCUCAUCCUUCUGAGCUUUUGCUGCACUGGCUUGCAAUCUUCUCUUAUAGGGAGACGAUGGACUACAAUGUCGGUACUCAACCUGUAAUGACCCAAAAUUUACGGGCAUCGAAAAAGUAUAAUAUCGGGCCUCCGUCUUAGUAAAUUGAGUCCGAAAAUAAUUAUUAGAAAUAUUUACGAGACUAGUUGUGUGUUUAAUUAAGUUUUAGAUAGAUGAAUUUAAUCUAAUUAAGAAUAAUUAGGAAAAAGGAUUAAAUUGAAUAAAGGGUAAAUGUUUAAUUAUAGAUCAAAAGAAAAUAAGAGGGACCAAAUGGGCAAUUAAGCCACAUUUGGAAGUUGAGGCGGCAUAACAUUGUAAAAAUCUUAGAUUUUUAUAUUAUUUAUUUAUAUAAAUAUAUAAAUUAAUUAUAAAGGAUAUUAUUAAAUUAAUUAUAUUAUAAAUAUUAUAUUAAGAAAUAAAUUAAAUAAAGACAAAUGUAUGUGAUAUUUAAUACAAGUGUAUUAAUAAAAUACAUACAUUUGUAAUACUUAUAUUUAAUUACUAAAUAGAUAUUUGUUUUAAUUAUUAUAUUAAAGUAAUUAAAUAAAAGAAAACAAAAGAAAUAAAAUAAAGGAAAUAAAGUAAAGUAAGUUAAAAUAAAAGAAUAAAAGAAACAAAAGAAGAAAGAAACAGAAUAGCCAAAGACGAAACAGAGAAGAAACAGGGGAGAAAGAAGAAAAAAGAAAGAAAAAGGAAAACUUGAAGGUUUAAGGUUUAAAGCUUUGAUUGGUAAGUCAAAUUAGCCCUUUUCUCUUAAUUCUAAUGUUUUAAAAGCUUUAAAAUAAAGUUUUGAUGGAAUUAAGUUGAUAUUUUGUAAGUUCAUAGGUUUUCAAGUAUAGUUUAUGUUGAACAAAAGAGAUGAAUUAGGGAUUAACUUGAAGGAAUUUUAAGUUAGAAUUGAAAAAGGGAUUAAAUUGUAAAAGAAACUAUAAGUUUUAUGUUUUAGGGACUAAAUUGAGGGAAAUUCGAAAUUAGCAAAAUAUGCUGAAAUUUUGAUAGUUAAAUUUUAGUUUGGAUGAAAUUUGAAUAGAAAUAGAGCGUGAAUUGAAUUAGGAAAGUAAGUGAAUUUAGUUAGGAUUAAAUUGAGAAUUAGGAAGAAAUUGAAUAGAAAUUCAAUUAUUUAUUAUAAUUAGUGCUGUAAUUAAUAUUACAAAUUAUUAUUUUCGUAGCUAACAAAGAACCCGAGGCAUCGGCGUCAAAAGGAAAGGAGAAAGUUAUUGAGGACUAAAACGGGAGAAUAACGGUUUGUAUUACUAUAAUUCAAGUUAUUUAUUAUUAAAUGCUAAAUUUUAAUUUAUGUGUCUAGUAAAUGAAAUGUGAGGUAAGUAUAAUAUUAGUAUUAAUUUAUUAUUAGUAUUAUUAUUAUUAUGAGUGGGAAUUAAAUUGAAUAGUUUGUAUGAAUUAAUAUUUGAAUUGUUUGUUGAUUGAAAGCGGGAAAUGAAUUUGAAUCGAAUUGUGAAUGGUAUUAAAUUGUAUGGAAAUGUAUUGAGUUGUGAAAAUGUGUGAAUUUGUGAAAUAAUUAUUGAUUGAAUGUGGAAAAAUGAUUGAAUUGAAAGUGUGAGAAAUUGUGAUUGAAUUGAGAAUAUACGUGAUUUAAAUACCCUAUUAACUAGUCGGGCUGAGUCGGAUAUAGUUGGCAUGCCAUAGGAUUGGAAGAGUUCAGGGAUACUUCGACCUCGAGUCGAUGAGACACUGGGUGUCACUAUAUUUCUUCGGAUAGAUUCGAUGAGGUACUGGGUACCAACUUUCUUCGGCUUUGCCGAUGAGACACUGGGUGUCAACUAUUGCUUCGAACUAUCCGAUGAGGCACUGGGUGCCAUUCUGGUGUGUUUGGUUGGAUCCGUGUAUCCGCCAAAGUCCGAGUUUUGUUAAUAGGGUAAAUGAUGAAAUGAUAAACCGAACGAGUUGGUCAAACGAGCUAUUGAAAUGAUAUGAAAAUGUUGAAUUGUGAAUUGAAAUGUGAAAUGAGAUUGAGAAAUGAACCUAAGGUUCGUGAUUUAUUCAAACUCAAAUUGUGGAUAUACGAUAUUGGUUGAUGAAUUGCUAUUGUUGAAAUAUUGAAUUUAAAUUGUAUAUACGAUUUAUGCAUUACAUGUACAUUAUUGUUAUAAUUUGAAUUAUGGUAAUACCACUGAGUAUGAAUUACUCAGCGUACGGUUGUUUCCGUGCGCAGGUCGAUAGAAGUCAAAGGUCCCGGUUCAGCAUCCAGAUUAAUCCCGGCUUCGGCAAAACUUGGUGAUGUAUUUUUCCUUUGGUAAAGGUGGCAUGUACAUAGAUUGUGUAUAAAGGUUAUUAUGUUUUAAUAUAUAAUGGUUAAAAAUGUUAGUAUUAAAAGUUUAUGGAUUUUAAUGAAAGAAGUCUAUCUAUUUUAUCUAAUUAGUACAUUGUUAAAUUUUAAAUUGAUAUUGUGUAGAUUGAGUUUGAUUAGAAGUAUUUAGAAUAGAAAAUGUGAAUGUGAAAUGAAUUGGUUGAAUUGGUGAUAUUUGGGAACUAUAUGGUUUUAAUUUGCAGGGGGUUUUAUGUAAAAAUAAGCAGAAAUGCUGCCGAAAUUUUUAUAAAAUAAAAUGAAGUCAUUUGGUAAACAAACUAAUAAAUUUUAUGAAUUAUUUUAAUAUAUUGGUUAUUUAUUUAAGAAUUGUUGUAAAUCGUUCGAUACGUCCGGUAAUGCCUCGUAAUUCUGUUCCGGCGACGGUUCGGGGUUAAGGGGUGUUACACAACCCCGGCAUAUCCCGGUAUGACCAUACAAACACGUCCUUGAACUCUCGGAGUAAUUCGAUAAGGUCUUGUCUUGUCUUUGCAGAGAUAUCUGAUUCGAUCUUCACCUCUUUACCUUCCUCCAAGCUCACAAUUUCUAUUAAUUCCCUCUGAGGUAGGAUUUGCUUCUCAGUCCUUUCUACCAUUUUCUACAAGUCAAGAGACAAACCAAAGUCUUCGUUGUCUUCAAAAUCAUGCGAUCCCUCUAAACACAUGUUUCGUUCAAAAGGAGACUCUAAAUUUGUAAGAGUGACAUUCGCAUCAUUGAUAUCGUGGGACCUGUUAUAGGUAUGAAAAAACAAUAUGGAUUUAGGAAUUUGUUUGGUGCAAUAUGGUCAUGAAUGAAAUGCAAGUGUAGUUUAAGAGAAACUUAAAAUAACUGCUCUUAUGGAAAGAAAUAUUUGCUCCAAAAAUGACUGCAAACAUGAACUUUAUUAAAAUGACGAUUUUCUGGACAUGAGCCUAUUUCACAAAUGAAUCCUUAUCACUUCUAGGCUAAAAAGCAAUAAAGGUGUUCUGGACAUUACUCUAACGAAAUCUUAAAAACUACAGGUAUUUCUUCUGCAAUCCAGUUGUUUAGCUCCCUUUCCGACUCGUAAGGACGAAUAUCUGGCAAAGUUCUUCCUCGCGUCGCUUCUUCAUACACGGCAUGAAUACUCCCUAACUCCGUGUUAAUACUUCUGACCCCUAACAUUCCUUGAUAGACAAAUCCUCCCGAUACAAAAGUCUUAGAUAGGUGAGGAAAGGUCAUGGGUUCCCAUUCAACUUCAUCCCCUGUCAAACGAGCCCUUCUCCUCACUCACUUCUUUUCCUGCUCUAUCCUCUUCUGCCUAGCAUCUGGCUUGUAUCCUAAGCCAAAGCGGUCUUUCUUGUCUUUCAACACUGGAGCCUCAACUCGGCCGUGGAGAUAUCUCCCCAAUCCUCUUCUCGGCAAAGCUCCCUUUCCAACAGUCAAUUGCAGACCCAUCUCUGUGGUCCUGGAUAUUCUCGGCAUCGGGAUAUUGUUUCCCUCACGGAUGAAUGUUGCAUUUACGAACUCUAAGGAACGGAAAGAGCAUUCGAUUGCAUCAUUACUCGUUUCUAGAUAAGGCGCAUCGUUGGUCACAGAUGCAAUGAUAUCUUCUUCAGCAUCUAUCGUCACAAUCCUGCCUUCUGACACCAGCUUCAGUUUUUGAUGUAACGAUGACGGUACCGCACCUGCUGAAUGAAUCCAUGGCCUUCCUAAUAGGCAACUGUAAGAAGGCUUAAUGUCCAUAACUAAGAAGUCCACCUCAUAAAUAGUUGGGCCAAUUAACAAGGGAAUGUCAACUUUUCCCAUGACCCUCUUCUCAGUACCACCGAAUGCUCGAACCACGUUCUGAAACGACUUCGUAUGUGAACUAUCCACAGGUAGCCUAUUGAGCGUGGAUAGGGGCAAUACAUUUAAUGCCGAUCCAGUGUCUACCAGAACCCCCGGUAAUAUGCACCCUUUACACCUUGCAGUGAUGUGUAAAGCUCUAGUAGAUCCCAUACCCCAGGUGGUAUUUCGUCAUCGCUGAAAGAGAUGAAGUUAUCAGCGCUUAUAUUGCCGACCAGUCGAUCCAACUUGUUAACAGAGAUAUCGUCGGCCACAUAAGUUUCAUUUAGCACCUUCAGUAGUGCAUUUCGAUGUCCCUUCGAGUUUAGGAGUAAAGCUAGCACAGAUAUGCGAGCUGGUUGUUUGUGUAGCUGCUCCACAACGCUGUACUCGCUAUGCUUUAUGAGCUUCAAGAACUCUCUAGCUUACUCCUCAUUGAUUGGUUCGUUGACCAACAAUUCAGGUUCGAUUGCCUUCUCCUUCUUUCCAAUCGAAGUUUCUUCUCUUAUUGGCUCUACUCGAGCCUUCACUUGUUCGUCAUGCCCUCCUUCAUCAUGGUCCUCUUUAUUAAUUGCAUCCUCUUUCUCCGGGAUUGUCACAUUACAAUUGUAAUUCCAAGGAACCCUCCUGUUAUCCUUGUAAGUAAACACGGUCAGUUUUUGAAUGAUAACCUUUGGUGCUACUCGCGCUCCAACCUCACUAUUCUUAGGUCGUGAGAUGAUGACCAUAGGAUGGUUAGCCUUCAGAACUCACAAUGCCAACUCUGACAUACAUACAUAAUUUUCCUUCUGAAUUCCUUCACAAAAUUCCAUCUCCUUAUUAUCCAUCAUACCCUGUACCACGGCUCUGAACUCCAUACACUCUUGGAUUUCAUGCCCUAUUUCACAGUGGAACUCAUAGUAGUUCCUCCUCUUCUCAGAGCUUUCUUCUGAAGCAAUUAGCCCUCUUUUCACCAUCUUUUUCCAGACCCAUCUCAAAGGAGUCUUCACGUCCGCAAUGUCUGCCUUAAUUUUUCUGUCCUCGCCCAUCAUAUUUAUUCCACUGUCAGUAUGGUUUGGUAAUGGAUUUUCUGUUUUGGUGGCUUCAUCAAAUUUAACGACACCCAUACCAAUGAGCCUUUCAACCAACUUCUUGAAGGCAGUACAGUUUUCUAUGGAAUGCCUCGUGAUUCCCGCAUGAUAGUCGCAUUGUGCAUUUGCGUCGUACCAUUUGGGGUACGGGGGCUGUAACGGCUUCAGAUAGAAAGGGGAAACUACAUGUGCGUCGAAUAAGUUUCGGUAUAAUUCCCUGCACGACAUAAGAAUUGGCGUAAAUUGGGGCCUCUCCGUAUUUCGCCUUGUACCGACCUCUUGUCUUGACGAGCUUUGCUGAUUGGCAGCCACCUUUCCUGGCUGAAUCACUGUUACUGACUUCGAGUAACCCUUAUUGUACAUGCUCGCGUUGUUCACCUCGUUUUCCUUUCUCUUCGAAGCUGAUCUUCUGUUACUCUCUCCAGCAUCGAUCUUCCCACUCCUAAUGGCGUUCUCAAUCAUCUCGCCAUUCAUGACUAUGUCAGGAAAGCUUUUUGUGGCACUUCCUAACAUAUGUGUUAUGAACGGUGCCUUCAGGGUGUUAAUGAACAACAUGGUCAUUUCCUUUUCCAUGAGCGGUGGCUGAACUUGGACUGCGACAUCCCUCCAUCUCUGCGCGUACUGCCUAAAGCUUUCGCUCAGCUUCUUCUCCAUGUUCUGAAGGGUGAUUCUAUCAGGAGCCAUGUCUGUCACAUGACUAUAUUGUUUCAUAAAUACUUGCGCCAAGUCCCUCCAUGAACCAAUCUUAGCACGACUCAACUGAUUGUACCACUUGGAUGCUGCCCCUGUAAGGCUGUCUUGGAAGCAAUGUAUUAAUAGUUGGUCAUUAUUAACGUAUCCAGCCAUUCACCUGCAGAACAUGGUGAUAUGAGCCUCUGGGCAAGUCGUCCCAUUGUACUUCUCGAAUUUAGGCAUCUUAAACUUAUGAGGGAGAACUAGAUCUGGCACUAAACUCAGCUCUUUUACGUCAAUGCCUCGAUAACCUUCAGUGACUUCCAUUGCCUUGAACUUCUCCUCGAGCCACUUGCAUCUUUCCUCUAACUGUGUCGGUAACUCCUCCUUCCCUCUUUCCUUCUCAACCACUUCAUCAAAGUCAGGAAUAACAGAGUUAAUAAAAUUAUUUUCGGGAUUAAAACCCGGCCCAGUUUGAAGGUUCGAAACACCAGCUCGAAAUUACUGAGGCAUGAUGGUGACAGUAGAUUUACGCGGGUAUUCAGUUUGAGCUCGCUCAUGUGGAGGGAUGAAACCUGGAUGAUAGAAAAGUUCAUCAUCAUUUCCCUCAUCGACAUCUGCCAUGGGGCCCUUUCCUUUGUCACCUCCCUUAGUUAUCAGUUGGGUUAACUUUGCCACUAUAUCCUCUUGAGAUUCCCGCAUCUUCUCAGACAUUUCUUGCUUCAUCUUGUCUAACCGCUCCUGCAUUUGCAACUGAAGCCGGUCUUGCAUUUCCUUCUGGUACUGUUCGAGCUUUUCUAAUAUCUGAUCCAUAUCUUUGGUCUUUGCUCGAGUGCCGUAUCGGUGUUGGAUUGGUUGGUUGGUUUCCAGGUUAACUGAGCAAUAAUUUUAAUUAAUUAGGAUCAAUUAAAGAUUUUGAAUGCAUAUGAUGCGAUGCAUGAGAUGAAUGCAAGAAAUGCGUUAAUUAUGAUUCAAUUCCACUUGGAAAACUUUAUUAGAAAACAAAUCCCUUUACAUAGAAUAGACUACAAAUACGACUUCGCCCUAAUACUUAAGACCUUAAUUUUUUGAAGCAACGAGGCUAACUCCCGUCCCCGGUCUGACUCUAAUUCAUACUUUACGCUCAACGUGUCAGCUUGUACUGCCAAAGUUUGUAAGUGAUCAGCUACUUCUCGAAUCUGAACCAAGGCUUGUCCCAUAACACGAUCCCUGCUUCUGACCUGAUUCUGGAGAUAGUGAAGCUGUUCAUUUUGAUGGUCUUUGUUUACCUCCAAAUACUCAAUCCUGGCUUCACUACUCUGCAAUGCUAUCUCUAAUUCUUCUAUAGUCUUCUUCAUUUGCUCAAUCUUGCCUAAACUUGCUUGCAGUUCUACCACUGAAUUACAAUUUCGGUAUUGAUGAACAAUCUUCUCAAGUUCGGUCACUCUAGCCCUUAGUUUAUCCCUUUCAUCUUGAUUUUCUAACAAACUCUUCUCAAGCGAUCUAUUUUGCAUCUGGGCUUCUUGGAAUCUUCCUUCCCAUCUACCAGCCUUGGUUUUUUUCUUCUUGAAUCUCUUGACGCCACUGCUCUGAGGUUUUUCCCAACCCAACAGUUCUUACUGAUAGACGUAAUCUCUUAUAAUCCGUCUUCAAGCUGUUCAGAUCUUCCUCGACUUUGCGCUUCCCUUUUCUCAGGCCUUCGGUUUCCUGCUUUUGAACAUCUAUGUCCAACUUUAAAUUUACCUUUUCUUCCUCCAUUUGCUCUAUUUUCUUCUCAAAUUCUGCAUUCCUUCUUUCGAGGUCUUGCUUUAUGAUUUCCAGCUCAGAAGGGACGACGCGCAAAUGCUCCUCUAUCGAUUGACUAUUUUCUGAACUUGGCCCAGGAAUGUUGUCAUUAAUCCUCCUAACACGCCAUUCGUUAUAUUCAAAAGUUGUCAUUGGACCCACGGCUAAUCUCUUCAUUCGACGAGUCUGAUUCCACGCAUUGGCCAUGUCACGAGCCUUCCUUUUGUAGCCAUCAUCCUUAUAUGAGAAUUCAUACUCAACUAGGCCUUGAGUGGCAGGCACAAACUGUCUUGACCUGUACUGUCUUAACACUAGCAAUGGGGUAUAACCAACAACUCCCCAAAUCCCGAGCAACGGAACCCAGUCGAAAUCCCCGCACUUAUAUAGGAUCUCAUUUGGAAGCAACCACGGAGCUCUCCACUCGAUCUCUUCUUCUUGCAAAUUCUGACAGAUUGUUAUCCAUUUCUCCUCUGUAAUAUCAUCUCUCCUUGACGCAGCCACUAUCUCUUUCAACGGUGAAUAACUUUCAGAGAAGACCUGAUAUGAAACCUUAUCAACCUUCCAAAAGUGGCUAUGGAACCACCCAAGUAAUAGCUGCGCACAUCCAAUAAAUCUACCUUCUCCCGUUCUUCGGCAUGCACUUAAUGACCUAAAGGUUUCUGCCAAAAUCACCGGAACUGGCGUAACUCCCUUAUCAAGUCGAUCAAAUAAAUCAGUGACCGCCUCGUCAACAUGUCCCAAAAUCUUAGGAAACAAUAUUAGACCAUAUAUACUUAGAGCAAAGACGUCUACUUUUUUCCUCGCAUCUGGGUGUGCUAAAAUGAGGUCCUUAAAGCUUUUCCAAGGAAUACACCUACUAUCCCCUUUUUGCUUAAUCCGAGCUGUAACCCACUGCUCACUCAUCCCUGUUAUAUUUAUCAACUUCUUCAAGAAGGUCGGUACAUUUACUGAUUUCGAAUAAAUUCUAUCUACCUGAACCUUCGAACACCGAAGUAAAGCUGUGUACUCUUCUAUCGUGGGCACCAAAUCAACCUUCCCGAAUGUGAAGCAACUGUAGGCCGGAUUCCAAAACUGGGCAAGAGCUCGAAACAGACGCUUGUCUACCUUUAUGUCAAGUAAAUAAGGCAAAUCCCCAUAAUUUAAAUAGAAUAACUGCCUAACCUCAUUAUCCCAUUGAUCCCAAAUCUCCUUCAAUUCCUGCAAGUUGUUCUGAGCUACGCUAACACAAGUGAAGUCCCAUAACUCUGAUACGUAUCCCACGGCCAAACUAUCACCUUUUUCGUGCUGUAUCUUCUCAGACCAAGUCCGGACAGCCGCAUUGUCUUCCACUCUAUCAAGAAACCCAUUUCCCAUGAUAAACUUUCUAUAUGGCAACCGAAUAUGAACAACGCCUUUAUAAUGAAAUGUCAUGCAAUUAUGAUGUCAUGCAAUCAAAACAAAAGAAACCCAAGUCAGUAUCACAUAUAAAAAUAUAAUCCAAUAUAAAAUAAUAAGAACACUUAUUUAGGAAUCUACUAGUGUUCGGUAUAAUUCUACCUAGGGCAAGCUCCUAAAGCUCACUAUAUGAGGUUUAGUUUCUAGAGUAAGGGUACCCGAACCAGUAGAUUCCUCGAUCCUCACCCAUUAUAGGCUCAUAUGGAUCGAGUUCAGUUCAGGGGACACAUUUCCCUAUGGCUGCACGGAGAUGAAAAUCUCACGAAGACAUAGGUACGGAUGUAUCCCGAAAACGGUCCACUAUCCUGCACGGAGGUGAAAACCUCACGAAGGACUAGUUUCUCGCUCCCACUUAAGGGUAAAAUGCAAAAUGCAAAUGCAAAGUUGCCAAAGUUCCAUGAUAAAACAUCAAUGAGUGCAAAGGGAAAAUUUUUAAAAACUUUUUAAUUUUCAACACAAAAACAAAUAUAAUCAGUUUAUGGCUCGACUCUCUAAAAUCCCCAGUGGAGUCGCCAAGCUGUCGAAACCCUUUUUUUGAAAACAAAAGUUUUAGUUGUUGACUUAAAAAACAAAAACUGGAGUCGCCACCGAUCCUUUAUUAAGGUGUGAUCGGCCCACCUUAAAAAUAAUUUCGGUCUGCGAAAUUUGAGAAAACAGGUCCGGGAGUCAAUUACGCACGAGGAAGGAUUAGCACCCUCGUAACGCCCAAAAUUGGUACCAAAUUGAUUUUUUUAAUGCCUUGGUGUCGAAAAUUUGAAAAGAUUUUAAAAGGAAACUUUUAUUUCAUGAAUGGAUUAAAAUAAAAAGACAUUCACAUUUAAAAGAAAUAAAACACCACACCCAGUGAGUUAGGGCAUAAUGUUUUUAAAUCUUCAAAAUACCCGAAUAUUGCCUUUUGCUUUUGAAAAUUCUUAUUUCGAGAAGAAAAUAUCAUGACCAGUAAGUUAGGACCCAACAUUUUGAAUUUCCGAGAAUAAGUUUUUAUUUAAAAUUUGAAUUUAUUGCAAAACAAAUAUUUGGCUUUCUAAACUCAUCGAAAAAUAAUCGCGAUCCAGUAAGUUAGGACACGAUCCUUCACGAGAAUCAUGAAUGCCAAACAUUAUGGAGAUUUGUAAAAAUAUGAUGAUUUUAAUGCUUCGAUAAAACCAAAAUAUAUUUCCCGAAAGGUAUGUUAAAAGUUAAUGAAUAAUAUAAAACCCAACUUUAAUUUCAAACAUAUAUGAAUAAAUAUUUACAAAUAUAUACAAGUUUAAUAUACAAGGAAUUCACAAAUACGUGCAUGCAUAUAUUUGACACACAUGUACAAGGAUACAUAUAAAAAGAUAGAAUAGAAUACAUCAAUCAAAAUAAAACUAAAAAAUGCGUGUAUAUGUAUUUGAAAAUCGUGGAAAAAGGAUAAAAUACAAAAAUAUGUAUAUAUGUAUAUAUUUACAAAAGUGAAAAGAAUUUGAAACUAAAAUAUAAAAUACACAUUUUAAAAAAAAAUGUUUAGUAUGUACAAAAUUUAUGUGUGGAUUUAUAAAAAAAAAUUUAAAUGUGUAGGUAUAUAUUAGAGAAUGCAUGUAUGAUUUAAAUUAUAAAAUAUAUGGAAUAAAUAUGUUACAACAAUGUAUAUCUAUAUAAAAUAUAAAUGCACGUAAAAGUAUAUGAAAGGUAUGCACAUAGAAUGAUAAUAAAAUAUAUAUGUAAGGUGCAUGUGUUUACAAAAAUCGUUAAAAAAAGUGUAUGCAUAUAUUAUUGUAGAGAAUAUGCGAAUGUGAAUAUAUAUAUAGUACGGGUAAUAGUAAUUCCUAUAAUAAUAAUAAUAAUAGUAAAUACAUAAUUAAUAACAUAUAAAAAAACAACAAAUUAAGCAUUAAAUUAAGAAUAAACAAAGUUUUGAAACCCAAUUUAAUGAUGGAAACUAAAGAAAAGGUCCAAAUUAAGAUGCGCACAACAGUAGGAGGACCCAGGUGGAAAUUAAUCCAUCCUCUCAAAACACUACGCAACUAGGGACUGAAUCGAAAUGCGGAUCAAAUAUGCGGCCUAAUUUAAAAAAAACAAAAAGGUUUAAUUUGGGGCGCAUUGCAAAAGGGAGGGAUCAUUUGCGCAAAUCUCCCUUCUGACGUCAGAACGCGCGGAUCCUCCCCUUCGGGUCGGGUCACCGCGCGGGUCAAGCCUGGCUAAAACGGCGCUGUUUUGAUCCGUUAUUUAAAACAGAUUUUUACCUUAAAAAUCAUUUGAAAUCAAAUAAAAGAAAAAAAAACUAAAAAAAACCCUGUGCUAGGGUUUUAAACCCAGGCCGCCCCAACACAAUUUCGCCUCAAGCCUUGGCCCUCCGCCGGACCUCCGAUUCGAGUGCGGCUGGGCUUCAUCGGCGAAGCUUCGAAGGUAAACCCCUCACCCUUCUUUUGUAUUAUUUCUUUUUUUUAAAUGAAAUAAAAAGAAUAAAAGCCUAUAUUAAAAAAAAUGGUUCACCUUAAAAACGUAGGUGUUUCUUUCAAUUUCCUUGUGUAUUUCUCUGUGUAUUUUCAUUAAUGCAAUCUCCGUCCCUUAUUUUACAGAUUUAAUGGCUUUUUAUAGGCUGGAAAGGAAAAAAAUAAAAUAAAUAAAUCAUAUAUUUUGCUUGUUUUUCUCCUCCGGACUCUUUGAGUCCGUAUUUGCAGGUGAAAGUGGAGCAAAUGGCGCGCGUGGGGUGGUCGACUCCGUGACGUGCGGCGCCUGGGAACUGCUGGCGGCGUCGGGGCAGACAUGCGGCUAGGGUUCCUUUUGUUUUUUGUUUUGCUUUGGGCCAGGGCUAUUUUGGGCCACUUAUUUGUUGGGUUAAUACUAUUUUCUUUUUUUGUUUUUAAACCCAGGCCGGUUGGGCCUUAUUACAUACAUUACGUAACUCACCACUGUUUUUAUCACAUAGCACUUACUGCCAAUGUAAUCCCAACUUGGACGUUCCUAACGUUAGGAACGCUUCCACUUUCAGUUUACCUAAAAGUUUCUAAAGCUUAGUCGACUGUUGAUUGAUUCAUCCAAUUUAAAACCAGAGUAGGUCCUUCCUUUAAAGUCCCCACCCCCCAACGGCCAAAACAACCCACAUUCUCAAUUCAAAACUCUAAUUAACCCUGCAGUUUUUUUUUUGGCCAUAUGAUAUAAUAACAUUGUUUCUAUUAAUAAAAACUCCAUUACAGAACAGGCAAUAUAGUGUACGAAGAGAUAAGAGAAAGCAAAAAAGUAGACAAUAACACCCAAAUACGAUGCUAAUUUAGCCUUAAAAAAUUCUAGCGGCGGUGUGGGCAAAAAGUGACCAAAUAGUUGCCGCGAGAGCAAGUAGCAAGACUGGUCGGAUCAUCGUAAGCAUAAGAAUAAGCUUUAGGACAAGCAGUCUUGAAAAUCUUCGAAUACGCCGUCGGUUUACACGACUGAGGACUGCCGAAGCUGCCGGUACAACAAUAUCUCGGUGAAUUAAAAGCGAAACAAGCGCUUUUACAAGCCACCACUUGUUUAUUAUUCCUCACUUGUAACGCGACGGGGCACAUUAAAUUCAAGUCACUAACACACCCGGCGUAGCUACAUUUACCGGCGCCUUUGAAAGGUGUAAUGGACAUAGCGAUGUUAUAGCCAUCCACCAAACUGACGUCGUAGAAAUCUUGUUGUUGGCCGAGGGUGAUUUCCGCUAACGUAGCGGGUGGGGUUCCGCCGAGCCCGUUGCAGAAUAAGGAACCGCCGCAGUCACCUGUCGCGCAACGGCCGUGACCCGAGGCGUCAAAGGAACAACCGUGUCGACCCCAGAACCGACCGGACCAUAACGGAGGUAGAUUCAUGGAGUAGGCUUUGUUUGGUGGGAGUUUGAAUCCACCGCGGGCUAAAAUUGGCUUGCCGGCGCUGGGUUGAAUCCCUGGCCAAACUGGAUGUGAGCAUUUGUUGUAGAGUGUUAUCGUCGUCGCUGUUUAAACAACAAAAUCAAUUAUUCUUAAAUGUUGUGCAAAAAUGUAUGUUUAUUUCAGUAUAUUGGAGAGUAAGAAAUUAAUUAGUACCUGAAAUAGGGAAGAAAAGAAAAGCGAAGAGAGUGAAAAUUAUGAUUGAUCUCCACAUUGUUGUUGCUUCUAUGGCUGUAAACUAUGGAAAGAGCUUGAAGUGAGUGAAAAUGAAAGCUAACAGAGAUGAGUGAUGAUGAACAUUUACUCAAGGAUAAACUAUGGUUAUGCUAUUCUUUUUAUAGAUAUAAAAAAGGAACUAAACUAGGGUUGUUUUGGCAACGAAAGUAGGGUUUGGUUACCAGUUCUUUGAUUUCUCUUUUGUUGUGAAAUGUGCAUCGACCUGCUACUCCUUACUACUGUCCGGGUCGGGUUUGAAUGGGAUUGUCAAAAUUUUAGAUCCAUUUAUUAAGUUUGGAUUUGGUCUAAAAAGUUUAAAAUUUGAGUUGAUCAAAUCUUUUUGAAUUAAUUUUUUAAAAUAUAAUAUAUUAAAAGUGCUAAAAAAUACAUAUUUUUUAUAAAUUAAAAAUAAAUUAAAAAAUAUUUAUACUUAAAUAAUAUUAAGGUGUAAUUUAACAAGUAAAUACCUUUAAAAUAGUAAUAAAAUUAACAAUAAAAUAAGAAUUAUAAAAUAUACAAAUAAUAAAAAUAAAAUAGUAGUAACAUAAUAAUGAAAUGAUAGCAAAAUAGUUAUAAAACAACAAGAAAACUACAAGAAAAUAACAAAAAAAACCUUACUCGAGGCCUUGACUAUUUUUUAAGCUGGCUUUAUUCUUUUGUCUAAGUUCAUUUUUGAGUCUAUAUUUUUGCGUGAACCCUAUUACUUUUUUGACAAGCCUUUGAGUCAAGCUACAUGGACAAGUCUAAUUACUAUAGUAAAGAGUUUUUUAAUUACUUAAUUAUAAAAAAAAAUUAUCAUACUAGUGUCUUUUUUCCCUUUAAUUCCAUUAAUUUGAUAACUUUUAUAAUAAGAAAAUAGUAUUGACAUAAUAAUAAAUUUAGUUGGUAUAUGUUAUGGUAAUUAAAUUUUGAUUCUAAAUUAGGGUUAGUGGCUCGCUCAACUCAAUUGGCUCGGAUUGACUUAAUUAGAUUUAAACAAAAAAAAUAUAUCUUUGCUUGAUUUAUUAUUUUUAUUUUUAUUUUUUGAAUUUUUUUAUCAAAAAAAUUCCCAGCACGUGAAACCUAUGAUGAAGGCAACGCAUAAUAAAAUUAUAUUUUAACAUUUUAAUUUGAUAAUUUAAUUUUAAUCUCUUUUUUAAAAAAUAUUAGAUUCACCUUUAGUGAUGUGUCUGAAAAGAGUACAUCGUUUGAUCAUCAAAUAUAAUUUAAAUAUAAGCCAGAUUUCAGAUGUACGGCAGAGAUUGUUUGUCUGAUCAAAAGUGGGGUGCAUGUGUAACGCUCGUGGAUGAUGCAGACCACACACGUUAACAAAAAUAGAUCUACUCCUCUUAAUUUUACUUAUUUUAAAAUACUGAAUUACAAAUAAAAUUUUUAUUAUUAAAAAUAAAAAUGUGAUAAAUUUAUUAAAAAGAAUAAAAUAAUUUAAAGUUUACUCUUCAUCGGACAAAGAUACUCCAUCUGAAUUGUUGUCUUGUAUUGAAAAGAACAUAGAUCUCAGGUUGCCUUUAAACUUAAGUUAAUGUUGUUAAUUAAGAUUAGAAGUAGUAAUUAAUAGUACAUGGACCUUAAGCUAACAGACAGAAACGGAAAAGGGUGUGGGAAAUCUGUCACAUAAUUGAAAUAUUUUAUAUUUAUUUUUAUCGGAUUUUGGACUUAAUUUAAUUUCUCUCUGAGAUUUUCGAGAACGCAUUAAUUAAUGAUCCCUGUUUUUUUUUAUGACCAUUGUUUAAUGAUUAUAAAAAUGACAUGGUUUCUGAAAUUACGGUUUUUGUUGAUUAAGACAAGACUUGUUGUCAACUUUCAGGAUGUUAACAAUCGUGAUUUUUUUUUUUGCUGAUCUUAAUCCAUUGAAUAUCAUUGAUAUGAUACUCUAAAAGAAAGUUUAUUUUAGUUAUUAAAAAUACAAGUAAUUUAAUAAUUGUAUAAUUUUUUUUAUCAAGUUUUGAUGGAAAAUGAUAUUUUUUUUAUGUUUAGGUGUUUAAACAAAAUUAGUUAAAAUGUUUUACUAAAUAUAUUGAUAUUAAGUAGACAAAAAAAUCAUAUUAAAAUCACUUAUUAUUUUACAAUAUUGGAAACAACAAAGAUGAUUGGUAGUUAUUGUAUUUGGACAAUAUUUAUACAAUCCAUACAUUUUACACAAUCAUAUUAAAAUAAUCGAAAAUCAAAAGAGUUUCAGAAGAGUCUUUUAGUUGAUUUGGACAUGAAUGGAUAAAUGAGUAGUGAAACCCUCUAACUGUAGUGAUUAGUGAAUGGAGGUUUGCAAUAACUUGUUAAGCUAACACCUCUAAAACAAAGAACGUAUUGAUGAUCAACUUUUUUUACAACUGAUUGGGAAUGAGAUAUGUAGAAUAACAUAUCUGAUCGUGCUUACAAAAUUACUCCAUUUGCCAAUAUUUAUGUACUCUUAAAUAUUUAUUUUCAAUUUACUUGUGUAAAAUGAUUUCUUAUACAACGUUAUAUUAAUUGAAAUAUGCUACUUGACAAAAUUAUUCAGAGUGUGCCAUAAUUAUCACCAGUUUACAUAUUGAAAAUAUAUAGCAUAAGUAUCACUAAGAAUAUAGUUUACAAUUGUAUUGAUGCACUAUUAGUAUUUAUUAAUUUCCACAAUGUUAAUAUUUACAAAUAAUGAACUUAAGAAAUUUAUUUAUUUAAAUUUUCAAAAAUAUUCACUAAUUAAUUUCCACAAUGGAUUUUUUAAUUUAUUGGUAAUAGUGCUUUAUUUUAAUAAUUUCACUCAAUAAAGAAUAAAGUAUUAUAAACAAAUAAAUACUUAACAAUAAAAUGUGUCAUGCUCUUAUUUAUCAUUUUACAUAUAUCAACAUUUAACUAUCAGUUAAAAUUUACUAAACACUUUGAAAUAAACAAUUAAUAGAAUCAGUUGGUCAAACCAGCCACUGCAAUCAGUUAUCAACUAUCAGUCAAUUACCAAACAAUGCCAAAAUAAAUUUCGAGAUAAUCUAUACAUUUUAUGUAAAGUGAGAGUCCAACUUAAAAAGAUUAUUGUAUUGAGACUAGACUUUAUUAUGGGCCGGGCUGGGUCAGGUGAUCUGCCCGAAAAGUGGAAGGGUUUGGGAAAAAAUAUAGGCUUGGGGUAGGCCUCAGGUAAGCUUUUUUGACCCAAGUUCGGCCCGCCUCGAACUAUAUAUGCAACAACAAAAAAUGUUGUUGUUUCCACUAUUUUGCAGUCAUUCAUUAUUAUAUCGUUGCUAUUUUGUUAUUGUUUGGAUGUUAUAUAACUCUUGUUUUAUUGUUAAUUUUGCUACUAUUUUAAAGGCAUUUGCUUGCUAAGUUGCACCUAUAUUAGAGUUAUUUAAGCAUAAAUAUUAAAAACUUUUUUAAUUUGUUGAGAAACAUUUAUUUUAAUGUAUUUGACGUAUUAUAUUUUUAAAUUUAUUUUUAUACAAAAAUAAUAAUAUGAAAAAUUUUAUACGGGUGGAUUUGGUUUAGAUUUUUAUAAUUUUACCUGGGCUGAAUUUGUACAAAAUUUUAAGUUCAUUUUUUGGGUUAGGCUGAGUUUGAAUCUAGAAAAUGAAUCUAAAAUUUCAACCCGACCUAUUAUCACCUCUAAUUGAUACGCCAAAAUUAGCUCAUAAAAUAAAUGGUCCAGUCCAACCCAACGAAAACAAUGGGUUCAAUUAUGAAUUAUGUAAUUAAAUUGGACUAAGAAGUAAAAAAACCAAGUGUGGUCCAGCACUUGAAAUAUUGUUGUUGGUCCAAAUUCCAAAGUGAGUAAAUAAGAAGGAUUGGGUUUGGAGUCGGGAUCAUCAAGCCCAAACAAGAAAAAGUAAUUAAAAAUAUUUUAUGAAAAUUAAAAAUAUUUAUAUACCGAAACAAAUAAAAUUAAAGCUAAAAUUAAAAUUUCUCUCUUGUUGGGUAAUUUGUUUAAUAAUAUAGAUAAAAAUGAAAGUGUACAUUAAUAGUUUUUUUUUCCAAAGAAAAUGACAUUUAUUCUAAUUUAAUACAAAGAAGUUUUGACUCCUUUUAUAAAUUUUUGGGUAAUUUUUUUCGAUAAUUUUACUGUUGAUUUGAUGCCAAGUUAUCUCAAAUGUUUCGAAUAAAAAAUUUAAUUCAAAUAUUUAACACUGUAAAUUUUUAUAAUUAAAAAAUUAAUGUGAUAAUUUUAAAAAUAACCCUUUCCAAUAUAAAAAAAAUUAAAUUACCGUGAUGAAUUAAAAAAAAAGUUACAAUUCAUUUUGUUACUUUUUCAUUCAUUAAUAUCUAAUAAGAUGAUUAUGACUAUUUAUUAAAUAUAGAAAUCAUCUUAUGGAAGGUGAUUAAGUAUGCAUUGGAUAUUAAUAAAUAAAAAAUAAUAGAGUGAAAUCAAACCCGAUUUAAAAGAGACAUUAAAAACAUCUACAUUAACAUAUUGGAUUAAUUAACAAUAAAGUUAGAGUAAUUCGAAGUCAAUUUGUUUAGAAAUGGUUAGGAGCAGACCAUUUGAUACAAAAUUCAACUUUUAGACAUGGGUAAUUCUGCGCCCGAUGUAAUCGAAGUAAAAGGUUUUUCAAAAUUAGUGUGAUGAUUGAAUCAGUUAAGUCAUCGAUUCAUUGGUUUAACUUAUUUGAUAGGUUCAGUUAAAUAAAUUAUUCAUAUUCAUAAAAAUAAGAAUAUUAAAAAAAUAUAUAUGGUUCAACUACUUGAUUUCAAUUGAUUUUUGCUCGUUUCAAUCGAUCUGUACCAAUUCUUAAAUUAAUAGAUCCAAUGCCUUUCUUGAGACCAAUACCCCUAUUGAUCUAAUAUGAUUCAAACAAGCAUGACACAAGCUAUAAGAACAACAAAAUAGUGGUUGCAUAAACCUACAAAGUCGAGAUAAAAUGAGUAACCAAUCACCAUGCAUAACCAUGACACGAAUAGUUCUCUCUUGCUUCCUAAACCUUGACAUGUGCUACCAUUUAUGUUGAGCUUAAAUUUGUCUUCACUACAUAUAAACCCCUUUUAUUGAUCUAAAAGUGUUUUUGAAUAAACGGUGGUCGUGGUGCGAUGAAAUCUUUUACUUUAUAACUAUAGUAACUAACCUCGUCGUCAACGCUGUUUUAAUUAAUACGCUUAAGUCAGGUUACUCUAGCAAGAGAUUUCAGCCCACAAAGCCGGUCUUACGCCAAACCAACAACACUCAUCAGCAAAAUACAUAAUAAAACAGACGUAAAUUUUGAGUGAAGUAAGUACCAAUCGAUUUACCAUCAUGCAAAGUGAUGUAUGUACACAAACUGAAAUGUCUAGAAAGUACCUUCAACCAAAAGCCAAGUUAUCAUCAUCAUAAUAUUAAAGAUUUAUUCAGAGCAUGCAUGCAUGGGCAGUAGUUGUUUGAACUGAUGCAGCCUUACUUUCUCUUUGUAUCUCUCAAACAUGUCCUUACAUUUUGCCCCAGCAUCAAUAGCUUGUAAUGCAUGCAACAUAGCACAUUUAAGCUUCAAACUUUGUUGUCAGAGGGUGAAACAGAUGGAUAGAGAAAAAAUAUAUUUCUUUUUGAAAUGAUGAGUACCUCAUGAUAAAGAGUGGGAGGAAUUGGGCGAUCACAUGAGGCUUUAACUAAAGCAUGGAGAAAUAGGGUUUCAGCUGGUCCACCUGCUACUGCCUGUUUUAACUUAUAAAUGUAAAAAAAAUUGGGGGUUAGUAGCAGCAACCUCAAGUGUUGUCAAUUUUCUGAACCUGCAAAUCAUAUUCAUAUUUCACUUCUCUUUCUAUUUUAACAUUAGACAAGUGAAGUCAUUUAAUUGGGUUAGAUUACUAUUUGAGGCUUGAACUUGGUAAUUUUUUAAUAUUAGGGUUUGAAUUUUUUUUUUAAGUUAAGUUCUGAACUUGGUAAUUUUUCUAUGUUGGAGCCAGAACGUUUUUUUUUUAUUUAAGUUAGGCCCUGAACUUGGUAGUUAUUCUAACAUUGUGGUUUGAACUUUAGGGUUUUUAAGGAUCAACUUGGACAAAAAAAAAAUUCAAGUCCCAAUGUGGGAUCAUUUACCAAGUUAAGGGCUUAACUUGGAUAAAGAAAAAGUUCAAACCACAAUGUUAGAACAACUACCAAGUUCAAGGCCUAAUUUAAAAAAAAAAACGUUCAGGCUCCAACAUAAAAAAAUUACCAAGUUCAAACCCCAAAAUAUGAGUUAACCCCUUUAAUUACCUGCUACAAAAAUUCCCCCUUUUCUUUUACCUUCAACUUACUCCUUGUUUUUUUGUCUAUAUUAAUUGAACUUGACAAUUCUUCCUAUUUUAAUUCUUAAAUUUUUAUUUCGUUAAGGUGUGAUGACGUGACACUUUGAAAUCAUGUCACAUUAUCACAUAAAAUCUAAAAAUACUAAAGAAAUUAUAAAUAUAUAUUUUAAAAAUUCACGUGAUGAUAAGGUCCAAUCUUAGAAUGUCAUAUUAUUGUAUCUUAACAUAUUCUAACUAACUAGAUAAAAAAAAAACUUAAAGACCAAGGUGGGAAGAGUUAUCAAGUUCAAGGACUAAGUAUUACUUUAUCCCUAAAAAAAUCCAAUUAUAAUUUUAGUCCUGCUAUCAUAUAAGAAAUUUGGAUUUAAUCUUAUCUCUACUAUAAUUUUACUUGAUUUGGUAAUUCUUAAUGUUAUUAGGACUUUGAAAUCGAUAGUAUUUUUUUUAAAAUUUUUUUUCUAUUAAUGUUAUCCAAUUGUAUCGUCAGAGUUACGUGAAGAUCUAAUCAAUAAUGUUCAACCAAUAAUAAAUUUACAUGUCAAUUGGUCGUUUAAUAAUUUUUUUAAAAUUUCACGUCUAAAAUUUAAUGGAAAUAAUUAACAGUGUUAUCAAAUUGGAUAUAUUAAAUAAUGUUAAUAAAGUAGAGGAUGAAAUUAUUUAAUUCAUGGUUAGGAGCUAAAAUACUUUAGCUUGAGUCCCCACAUAUGGUUAAGUUGAAGUGAUGAGAUUCAUUAUGGACUUACCCAAAUCUCGUUUGGGCUAGUGUUUGCUAAGUGCUAUAUGUACAUAGACCUUGCAGGCUCAGUUAGUGUUUUGCACAUAAAAUUCAUUCCUCUGCACUUUAAUAUGCUGCAUUAGAAAAAUAAAAUGCUUCUUUUGAAAAAGUGGUCAAAUUUUGGUAUUGGUCCUCAUACUAUGUUCAAAUUAGAAACUUUAUAGUAAUACAAGAUAAUUUGGUCCCUCUACUUUUAUAUCCAUACUAUGAUCAAAUUAGAGAUUUUAUGUCUUUAUAGUUUAUCAAACUAGUUCACAUCGGUAACUAUUCAAGUUAAAAUGCUUAUACAGGUUUUUCUAAAAAAUAUUUUUUUAACGAAAAAUGUUAUGUCAACAUGAUAAGUUGGAAAGACGUGUAUAAUAGGAAUUAUUAAUGGUGUUGCCUAUUUCAAUUAACUAAGUACAUUGUAAAAAUAAAAGGAUCAAAUCAUGUGAAUUUAAUAUAGAGGCACUAAAUCCCAUAUUUGAACAUACUAGAGGGACUUAAAAACCAUAAGUUGACCUAAAAAAGGUUAAUUACCUUCAUUCAACAAAUAUUUGGUAUCCUUGUAUGUAAUUUGAGCAAGAAAAGAAAUAAAAUCUUUCAUUAAUUAAAACAAUAAUAUAAAAAUAAAUUGCAUUGCAUUGCUUCUAUUUAAUUAUCAUUCUCAUAGUCAAAGGUGAUGUUAAGAAAUCGGUAUUGGAGGAGGAAAUAAAAUUUUAAAAGUUUGGGAAUAAAGAUAAAAUGUGUAUUCAAAAAGAACUUAAGUUACAUACUUGGCAAUUGUGAUGGACUAAAACUGAUAUUGGUCCACUUAACCAAAGGUGGGACCAAGUCACCUAGCAACUGGAUAGCUACCUAUUGCUCAUACCAAUGCACGGAGUGGUAAGGAGUUUGACACUCUUUUUUAAGUAAAAUACUGAGUUGAAGACCUGUGUAGAAAAUAAUUUUGAGAUAACUUUGGCUCCUAAUUUACUAGUUCAACCCUACUUAACUCUAAAUUUAUUGAAUUAAUAAUCUUUUGGCUAAAGUCUCUGAGAAGGUCCUUAUAUUGAUAGUUAACAUUAAUUGUCUAAAAAAUGUCUUGAAAUUUACUUUUUUUCAAUUGCAAUUCAAUUCUGAACAAAAUAUUUCAUUUACAAAACUAUAAAAAUUUUAAAAGUAUUAACCCUAUUAAACAGUAAAUGUCAUUUUUUAUACAACAAAUGUUAACUCUAUCUCAAUUUGGCCUUAUUUUAUUGUUUUUAAUAGUAUAUAGACUAAAUUGAUCCAUUUAAAAGUAAAAGGACUAAUUUGAUCAGGUCCCUAUAAUAAAAGGACCUCAAGGAUACAUUCACCUUUUAUCUCAGUGGAAAAGUUUUAUGGUAGGUAAAACAUGUAAGAAAAGGAACAAAAAUUCUCUAGAACCCAAAUUCCAAGUCAGUUCAACAUCAAAGUUUUUGAAAUCAAAUUCCCCAUUUUUUCAUGUACCUUAUGCUUCAACGUCAUCACAGUCUAAAACCUAUCUCUUUCAGAACCAUUUCAUUGGGGGAACCAAAACAACCCUUUAUUCUGUCAACAUUAAUCACUUUGUUUCUAAUGUUGUCUUAACCUUAAAUGUUUUGUUUUUUCAUUUUUACAUAAAAGAAAGUCGAUUGUGUUAACAUUAAUGGGAGACAACAUUAAUGGCAAACAAUACAAAGUGGUGCAAGUUUAGCACCCUAAAGUUGACUUUGAAAAAGUGGCAUGGGAUAAUUUUUUUUGGUCCUUGAGAUAAUGGGCUAUUUAUUGUUUGGUCCUUAAACCUCAACUAUAAAUAGGCCUUCUCAUUUCUCAUUUCAAUUCAUCCCAACCAAUCUUUCUCUCUUAGUUUUCUCUCUUCUCCCAUUUGAGAAUUCUUAAGGAAUUCUAUUUGUUUGUAAUACUUUGGAGAUAGUAAAGUUAUCAUCUGGUGUUAGUGCCCGAUGACGUAGGUAUAAUUUACCGAACCUCGUUAAAACUCUUGUGUUCUUUCUUGUCCUAUUUUUCUUUCAAUAUUUGAGGGUAUAAUAGUAGUAUUUAAUUGUGCUAUUAAAUUACUAUAGAAGGGAUAUUCUGUCUAAGGAAAGACUUGGUAUUUAAGAGAUCCAUGUGAUCCACCUCUCUUCCCUGGGAAUUGAACUUUGUGUGAUUUUUUAGUACAAUAAUUUACACGCUUCCGACCCUAUUGGAACAACAGAUUGAUCCAAUAACAUGGUCCAAUUGCAUUUUAAGGCAAUUCCCUUCUUUCAUAUCCCCACAAAUUUUCCCCUCAUUGCAUCCCCAUUCCAUCUGAUGUAACAUCACACAACAAUAACAGUUCCCAUUUUCCAAAAAAAAAAAAUUAAAGUAUUUUACAAUUCCUUUCUAAAUUUAAAAUUUAUUCAUUUCACUUUAAAUUUAAAAAUUUUAUUAAAUUCAGACUCAUUAUGAGUUAAUUUUUUAGUUUAUAUUAAUAACAAGUAAAUUAUUUUUUUAAUUUUAAAGUGUCAUGCUUAUUUUAAACGAGGUUAAUAAUUAGACUUGAUUAAAUUUUUGAAAAUAAAAUACAUUAAAUAAGUUUCAAAUUUGGGAAUAGUACUGAUGGCACAUUUUAACAAAAAAAAAAAAACCUACAUAAUCUAAACAUGACCCAACAUUUCUAACAUUUACCUACAUGGCAAAAUAAGUAAAUUUUUUAAAAAAAUAUCCCUCCAUUGUUUUCCAUUUUAGCUCUUCAAAGGAAGGAACUCAAAGAACUGAUAAUUAGGAUCACCAAGGUUAGCAUUCCCCGGGGCGGUGGCGAUCGAUAUCUCGUUUUCUUUCUCGUUGGAAUCAUCGGAACCGUCAUCGUUACCGCUACGAAGAGGGAAGAGUUGUAGGGUUUGUGAGUCACAUUCUCCAAGUGUAGCCUCUUGGUUUCUAACAAAGUUGAAAUCAAAGACAUUGGCAUUGUUGUUGUUAUAUCUGCAUGGUGAUUUAAAGAUAUUAUUAAGACCAUGAUGAGUCUUAAAGAGCUGUUGGUGUUGGUAUUGGUGCUUUGGGUCCAUUGGUCUUAUUGGUGGCGGUGGGGCGACGGUGGUGACAGUGCUAAUCGCUGCCGUCGUAGAGGUAGGAUUAGGGCUAAGAACAGGUGAUAGGCAUGAGUAAGAGAAUUGCAUUUUGUGCUGCCACGUGUCAUUCCUUUCGACAAAGUUCUUUCUUUCCUGUAAUUCUCUUUCCUCGAAUUGGAUCCACCCAUCUGCUCUACAUUCUGACACUGCUGCUUUUGCUGCCAUUUGUAUUGAAACAGAUUCCUAAUAAUAAUAAAACAAAUUACAUAUGAAUAUAUUAAAUACAUUUUAACAAAGAAAGUACAUAAACUAUUUUCCUUAUAUAAAUAAUAAGGUAAAAUUACACCUGGAAUUACUAAACUAUUCAUAAAUUUAUACUUUUUUUCAUUCAACUUUUAAAAUUUAUAAAAUAUUCACUAAAUUAUUGAAAAGUUGUGAAUUUCUGUAGUGAGGUAAAAGUGUAGUUUACCUAAAUAAUACAAAUUGUAUGUAAAGCGACGUGUACACAGCUUCUGGUUUAUAUUAGAGAAAGCCAAGUUUACAUUCCAUUCAAAUCAAAAGGACAAAUGGUCCAAGAGUGAUAGGCUGGAUUUUGAUGACAAAUUGUACUAUCGAGUGAGCCCAGUCUUUUCACUGUCAGGCAUCCCAUUUUACGUAGAAAUAUAUAUAAAUUAUAUAAAAAAUAUUUGAAUUAAAAAAAGGGGUUGGGGGGGUGCUCAAAUCAAUACCUAGCCUGAAAGCCAUGAAUGCAAAUGAAGCACAUCACCCAAAAAAAACCAGCUAGUUUCAUAACAGCAGCCCCGACAGAAAGGAAGGAAUGCAGCUUUUAAGCUCUUUUCAUUUCCCAACAAUACUACCCCUUUUCUUCUUUCUUUAGACAUUACAUGAACUAUUUUUUAUAUAUUAUAUAUUAUGUAUGUGUGUAUGUGUUGUAUAUAUAUAAUAUGAACAAAUAAAGCCUUGACUUUAAAGUUUAAAACUUUUCACUUGUGUUAACCUAAUGAUGGUUUUGUUUAUUCAGUUUUGCAUGGUAAUUUGAUAGAUUGUAUUAUUUUUAGUUAUAAUUAUAUUUUUGAUAUUAGGAGUCGAAUUGUAUUUUAUCUUAUAUUAUAAAUAAAUAAAUUAGUCAUAAGUGAUAGAAGAUAGAGUAAACUAAUUUUUUUAUUAAAAAUUUCAACCAUUUGGAAUAAUCAUAUAGUGACACAUGGCAUACCAUUAUACCCCAUGUUAAAAUACAAUGACCAACUUAGAAAUGAAUGAAAAUUUUAACAAAAGAAUCAGUUUACUUUUUUAUCUAAAAUAAAUGAAUGAAUUAAUUUAUUUUUUAAUAAAGAGAACUUCUUUUAGUAAAGGACUUCUAUGGUAAUUUUACCAAUUUUUUAACAAAAUCUUUUACAUGGGAUAAUAAUGAACUGUCUAUAUUGACCAUGAAAGACAGAGAGUGAAAAAAGAAAGAAAGAAAAAGAAUGGAGAGGAUAUUAGAUAAUAGACCUCUGCUAGUGUACUGCAGUUUAUAGGGAGUGCCCAGUUUUUGGUCUGUUCAACUUCAUAACCUGUCCUAUUCGUCUCUGUAAUAAAAAAACAAAACAAAACAAAAAAAAGAAUGUAACUUUACUCUCUCUAACAAACAAAUACAAUGGUGAAAACCAGAAAACAAAUAUAUAUUAUUCUAAUUAGCAAAUAGAAUAGUAAAGCAAUUGUAAAAAAGAUGAACAGUAUUUUAUGUUUUUUUGUUGUCUUUUUUUUUGUUCAUGUACCUGAAUCUUUUCUUUCAAAGUUGUCGGGAUGAUCAUCGUGAGUUGAUUCCAUUUGCCGGCGGCGUUUUUGACGUUCCCUUGCUUUAUGGUUUUGAAACCAAUAAAAAACAUUCUUCCCUUCUAUCUUACCGUACCUACGAAGCUGUGCUGUUAUGUGUUGGAUUUGGUCGGCCGAUGGUGUCCGAGUACCUCGUCUAUAAAGCUCUUCCAGUGUACGUAACUGCUCGGGCGUUGGGUUCCAUCUCGAGCUCACUACAACAGCUGGUUGUGUAUUGAACUCCCUCUUGUUUUGGUCUCCCAUACCUAUAAUAUAAGACCAUCGUGUUUAUGUAUAGUCAUGAAAAUGAAGGAGACUUAAAAGGAGAUGAAGACGUACUUAGUGCAAAGAAAUCGGAGCCAUUGAUACGGCUUAAACAAGGAGAGUUGUUGUUUGGCCUAGGGAUUAAAGGCCUAAGUUUCCUACCAUUAAAGGAAUCAGGCAUGUUGAACUCAGCACCACCAUCAUUAUAACCCAUCAUCCACAUCUUUUGAUUUACCUAACAAAUAUCCAAAUUCUAUAUACUUUUUAGGGUUUGUUUGGAAAGAAAAAAAAGGGUUUAAUGAGCUUUUACACUCUUACACACUCACUCACUUUUAAAUGAAGCAUGCGAAGGGAAUAGUGGUGGUAGAGACUUGGUUUUAAACGAGUAAAACUUAUAUAUAUAUAUAUAACAAGAAUUGAGGGUUUUAAAGAGAGAGAAAAGGAUAGAUGAGGAGAAUACAAAGGGAGGGUGUUAGUGUUGGUUUAAGAAGGAACAAAGAGGAAGAAACAUGAGGUUGACUAAUGAAUAAAUGCUGUGGUGGGAUUGAAGAAAAAAAAAAGGCCAAAAAAGCAAAAGAGAAGGAAGGAGGGAAGGGGAAGGGGAAGGGGAGGGGGCAAAGGGGAAGCGUGGAAUUCUGGGUGUUUUUUGGGAGUAGGGAAUGAAAAAGGACGUGACAAGGGAUGAAAGGGUUUAUCAUAAGGCUCUCAUAAGAAAAAAAAGAAAAAGGCUUUUCAUUUAUUGUUUUCGUCUCAUGUUUCGUGCUUUUCAUACAUAUUCUCAAUCCGAACUGCCCCUCUCUUCCUUCUGCUUCUUUACCCUUUUCUUUGUCUAUUUUUAACCUCUUCUCUCUCUCUCAUGCAUUCACAUGCAAAUCCAUGCAUGUACAUCACUAUGAGUACACCCUACAUACAUACAUGCAUGCAUGCGUAUUGUUUUCAAAUCAUGUGUAUCCCAAACUCCCAAGUAUAAAUCAUCAUCUGUGUCUUUUCUUUAAAUCAUGUGAGUUAUUUUCAAAUUGUUCUAGUGUGGACUUGAUUAUAGUAAGAUUAGUACUCUGAUUGUACUCUUAUCAUAAUUAUUCAUUGUUUGUGACUCUACCUGUAAGCUAGUGUUAUAAGUUUAGAUUUCUUGUACUCUUUAAAUUCAUUCAUAUAGAUGUGUAUGAAUAACUAUAUGUAACGCUUGGUGCGGUGCAGUCUGACUAGCACGUAUUGUUUCAAUAAUAAAACGAUGCAAUCAACUCCCUUUUUUUACACCGGUUGUAUUGACCUAUUCCACUCAAUUUCAAUCACAUCAGCUAGUGUAUGGAUAAUAUUAAAAAAUAUAAAAUUCUCAUAUUGUUAUGGUAAUAAAUGAUAAAACUUUUAUUGGAAUAUUGUGCAUGAAUUUUUUAUAUUUAAAAUUUAUUUAAUAUCAUUAAUUUGAUAUUGGUAAGUAUUUUUUUUAAAAAAUAGAUAAAUCUAGAACAAUGCACCAAAAUAUACCGAUAUCAAUACACACCGGUUUCAGUAGAUAAAUGAUGCGUCCACAGGUGCGGUACUGACUACCUUGACUUGAUGUACCAAACUCCUACCUUCUGUAAAUAAUGUGUGGGUUGUUUGUAAAUUUUUUCUGGUUUGACUUUUACUAGUUUGAAUUGUGCUGCUUGAUUAUUGUCAUCGAUCAGAUGCUUCGAUUCAUUCAUACAUGUGUAUAAAUACUUAUAUGUAUGUAAUGCUUGAUGUUUUAAGUUAAACUCCCAUGUUUGAUAAAUUAUAUGUAGGUUUUCAUCAGGCUUAUUUUGACUUGAAUCCCACCAUGCGUGGGUUUGACUUGAAUCAGAUAAGUAUUAUUUACAAGGGCGUUAACCAUUAAUUGUUCCUAGUUUAUUAAAUCUUAAUUUGUUAUUAAAUCAUGUAAUAAUAUAUACAAAAUUAAAAGAAUAAAUUUACAUGACGUGCCAUCGAUAGUCUAUAAAAUUAUUUAUUAUUAAAAAAAUAAUAAUUAAGCUGUGUACUGACAUGCAGACAAGCAAACAACACAUAAACACAAAAUUGAAGUUGAAAUGUUUACAUAAAUACAAAAUAAAUAUAUAUCUUUUUGUUUGUUAUGUAAAAACUAUCCAAGGAUUAUGAUGUAUCAUCAUGGUUAAAUAUGGAUAUGUGGCGUUCCCUUUGCAUGGCCGAAAUGUUAAUAAUGUACUUAUAAUAUAUAUCAGAAAAUUUUUUACAGUGCCAAAAUUUUGGAAUCUUCCUUCUUCUUUUUUUUUUCAACUUUUUUGCCAAAUUCCAUCAUUCAAAAAAGUUGAAAGAAAAAAAAAAGAAAUAUUUAUUCUCUAUUUUUGGAUUGAAGAAAUAAUGGUAUAGCCCAUUGGUCAUUAUGAAGAAAUGAUUUGAAUUCACCAGUUAUUGGGGGGGAUACCCUACUGGACCUCCUUUUAUAUAUAAAUCCAGGGAUAUAUUUCAUUAUUGAUUAAUUAUUACUAGUUUCUCUAUGAUAGUGACUUAGCAAAUUCCUUUUUUUGUAAUUAGGCUAUAAGCCUUUUGCAUAUGAUUGAAGAAUGAAGACCAUCAAUUUUGGUGUACCAUUUAAGGUAUAUGAUUUCCCAUCAUGAUUAAAUUGAUUAAGAAAAAAAUAUAGGUAAAAAUAUUACAGAGCCACAUGAAGUUAAAAUACAUUUUACUCUCUCUAUUAAAAAAAGUAAACAAAUUAGUCACUGUUGAUGUACAAUGUCUAGUUUUUAACAGUAGAAGUUGAUGAUUUUUUUAAUAGAAUGACCAAUUUACUCUUUGAUCUAACAUACGAGACUAAUUGACCCAUUUUUUGAGUACCAUGGUACUUCUACAAAAAAAAAAAUGAAAACCCAAACUUUAAAUAUAUAUAUAUUAAUAUUUGUAUAUAUACACAAAAUAUUUAAAAAAUGCAUUAUCAUUGUUAGAGAUAUUUAUAAGUCGAGUUAUACCUAUGUAUAAUAUUACUAUCAGUACUAUAUAUAAUUGUCUAAACCUAACCCAAUUUAAAAUAUAUGCUCAAAUUUUUACCAAGUUGGCCAAUAAUUGGAUAUAUCAAUACACUAUCCGCAAAAAAUGUACUUACUAAUUCAUAAGAAUUAUAGAUUGAAUUUUUUGCUCUUUAAUAAUUUAAGAUUCAACAAAAAUAAUUAUUUGAUAUAUCGGUUAUAGAGUUAUAAACUAAAUUAAAAUUUUUAAUAAAAUCAAUAAAUAAGUGAUACUUAUAACAAAUUUUCAACUCGAAUUAUAUAUAUAUAAAAAAAAACUCAUGAUAAUCCUAUCAACAAUUACAUUUUUAACAAUAUUUAAAAAAAGUAUUUUUAAUUAAUUUGGAAAGGGAUCAUAAUUCUCUACCAAUCACCUUCCCAAAGAAAAAGUUAAGAAAAUAAGCAUAAUUUAAGGCCUCUAGCCUUUAAGCCAUGAAGCGUCAUUGUCAAUUUCUACUUUAUUGACUCUUUCUCCGUAUGAAAACACAGUUUCGACACAAAAUUUGCCGACAAAUUGAUAACAUUUGAAUAAAUGCAUUAUUAUUUAUUGAAUUAUAGUCCAGGUGAUAAAAAUUAUGUAAAAAUUGUAUUUUAUUUUGUUCCUAUCACGUUUUGAUUUUUAAUUAUCAAUUUUUUUUAAUUUUGAAAUUUAAUUUUUAAAGCUUAUUAUAAAAUUUAAUUAAUUUAGAUAUUUAAAAUAAUUUAUGUUAAAGUUUAAGAAUUUUGGUUUAAAAAAUUGUCAUUUGAGAUAUUUUUAUCGGAAAAAAAUGAGUCUUUAUUGAAAAUCGGUUCAUAACGUGGUACUUGAAAUUAUACCACAUCAUCACUUAAAUUUGAAAAGAAAAACUAAAAUUUAAAAUUAAUAUGCAAAAAAGGAAGAAAGAAAUUAAAUUGAAAAAUAUAAAAUUUAGAGAUUAAAUUUUAUUUUAUUCCUAACAUAAUUAUUAAAUGCUGACGAGACAAUUGAAAAAUGGUACAACCAUUGUGUGGAAGAAAAUAAAGAACGUUAGAAUGAUAACAUAUGAGAAUAAAAUAAAAAUGCUUAUUGGGGCUAAAUAUCUGGGUGAUUAGCCAUCCAACUCAGCAGUUUAGCAAUUUAAAUUCAAGUUUUGACACUAAUUUCUUAAUUUUGGACUAAAUUAUGAUAGAUUAAAGUAAAUGGAUUAAUUUUUAAUUAAAAAAUAAAAAAGUUAAAAUUCAAAAUUAAACCAUAUUAAAAAAAUAAUUGGUUUUUAUUUUUAAUUUAAAAACAAUUAUAUUUAUAUAUUCAACUAAUUUUUACUAAUUAAUUUGACGUUCUAUUAACUCGUCACAUCAAAACUAGAUUUAAAUUAAUAUGAUUAAAAAAAGAAUUAUGUUAUCUACUUCCGUUUUCAUCUCAAUGCUAUGUCUUCGUCGACAUUCUCCAUUCUAAUAUUGUUUGGGCCUAAAGUUCACCAAAAUAAACCUCUUAGUCAAGUUUAAACUCGAAUUGCAUCAAAUCUAUCGAGGAAGGUUGACUCCAUUCAAAAAAGUCUAUGAAGUGCUAGUUUUAAGGAGUCAACAGAUCUUUUAAUAAGUUGAUAUUAUCCCCGAGCAAGGUUUUGACUCUUUACUCCAUGGAAAGCUUGAAUGUUACACUACACUGUGCGUAAAAUUAUAAAAAUAAUCAAUGUUCUCCAAUAUGAUCAUUUUAAAUCUUUAUAUUUUUUAAUUUUUUAUUUGACAUAAACAAUAUCUGUUAAAUUCAUUAAUUAGCUUUUCUUUUGUAAGUAAUAUGUUAAAAUAAUAAGCGUAUGUAAUAAUAAUAUAUUUGAUGCAUAUAAAAUUUUGAAAAUAGUAAAAUUUAAUUUAAUGAAUUUAACGACUAUUAUUUAAUCAUGAUUGAAAUUUUAAUAUUUAAAAAUAUAAAAAAUUAAAAACAAUCAAGUUAAAAUAUAAUAACUAUAUCUACGAUUUACAUAAGGAACUAAUUGCACAAUAUAAGAAAAAAAGUCCGAAAACUCCAAUGGAUAAGAGAGCAUCUGGAAUGAUGACGUCAAAUUCAUUCAAUGAAUCUAAAGUAGGAGAGAGAAAUUUUCAGUUUUGAUCGAAAAAAAAAAAAAAAACCUGUUCAUUUGAUAUUUUUUAUUUUGGUUUAGUUGAGUGGGGCAGGUUGAUCCGUUUUGACCUCAGUUUAAUUGAUUAAUUUAAUUGAUUAUUGAUUUUUGAAUUUUAGAACUGAAUCGACAGAAGAAAUUGACCUUUUUAUAUUAAUUUAAAAUUAUUUAAAAUACAUUUAUAUUUUAUAAUAUAUAACAUAUACAUAACUAUAUAAACCCAACCUAAUAACGCAGAUUAAUGGAAAAAACUGACUGAAUCAAAGUCUGUUUGAUUUGAUCGAUUUUUCAUGCUAAAAUCAAUUAGGUUGGUUUGGAAAAAAAUUUGAACGAAUGAACAGAUUAUAAUCUAAAGUCUAAAGUAAGUGCCAGAAAAUUAUCUAAGCAACUGACGAAAAAGGGAUAAUUUAUUCAAGGCAAAAGGAUGUUUAAGUUCAUAACAUCAGAAGCAACAAGCAUCAAGUAGAAACAACUAAUGCUAACUACACUCUUAUUACCAUGAAUCAUUUAUUAGAGAAAUGAGAAAGUAACAUUAGAGAAGAAGCAGGAAUUAGUUUUUGUUGGCAAUGAAAAGGCCCCAUCUCUGCUCCCCAGAUCUGGUCCUAAUCAGCUUUGCCUUCCAUCCCCCAACGAUAUCGUCAUAGUCUUCCUGAAUAUUGGAACAAAAUAAAGGAUUGAAGUACCCAUUAGUGAAGGGAAAAAAAAGAGAGAAACAUAUAGGGUUAUCAAAAUGAUGACAAAAUGCUCACCUGAGAAAAGUCGGUGAUGAAGGUAUCCUUGUCCUUCUCAACUUUGUCUAAUUCACGCUGCAGAACUUGUAUGAACUGAAAGCAUAAGCAAACCGUUCGUUUAUUAGCUAGGGUGGAAAGCUCAACCGGAGACUCUUUUAUCGGAAAUUGCUAUUUUCUCGAUGAUUUUCAAAUUGGUACACAAUCUCUAUUGAGGAGAAGCCAACUCUGUCGGGCGACGUCUGCAAAUUAUCAUAAGCUAGGAGCUAGUGGACCCCUUGACGAGUAGGUAUUAUCCUCGGAAGUGGUCUCUCUCUCGACUCCAUCGAAGAAGCCACAGAUUCACAGAAUAAAAAUGCCUCGGCAGAUGCUUGAAAAAGUGAAAUAUACGCAAUGCGCAUGGUCAUUCAGCAAGAAAAUCUCAUAUUUGUACUUAGUGAGAUUUUAACCUAUUCCCUAUAACAUAUGAGGCAUUGUUGGGUAAAUAAGCCAUCAACAUUGUCACCUGUAAGUGCCUUAUAUGAUAUAGGGCACGGAUUUGAAUCCAACCAGGUGCGUUGCGUGUAUGGUUCACAUUAUCAAGCAUUCCAAAGAGGCAAUCCCUUUCUGUGAACCACCACCAAUACCUUUGCAGGGACUCAAGCUUUCGACAAAAUCGAGAUACAAACUUUCACCAAGGGGCAAUACUAGACAUGUUGAGUGCUUGACCCAAAGUUCAAUCCUCAACAAUCCCAAUUAGAAAAAGCUAGCAAUUCAAUUAAGUGUGACUAACCAUUUCAUUAGCAGAUAGCAUAUUAUAGCUAUCGAAAUAAUUCUUGCCAACAUUGACCAAUCAGUUCAUAAUAUUACAAUCACACGAAAGAAAUAAAAGGGUCGGUUUAUCUGAACCUGAUCGGUUCGAUCCUCUGCAAUGACCUGAUCAAAACCAGCAUCCUUAAGCAUCUGUAUAACAUUAUGGCAAAAACAAGACAGAAACGGUAAGUCGUAAUGUUAGAAUUUUGUUAAUAAAAAACAAGAAUGUGACAUGAAAUCAAGAAAUGGUUAUUAAAUUGAACAAUCCAGACCUGGCCAUAAGCUUUUACAACAUGGAGAUCAUAGCCUCUCUGCUUGAUGUACUCUGCAAAUUCAGCCGAUGAAGCUCCUGCGCUUUUGCAGUAAUCACUUAUAAGAACUUUGCCCCCUGGCUUCAACCAUUUGUAGAAAUAUCUAAAUAGUGCAGGCUUGUCCUGAAAUUCAAUUUACCAUUAAGCUUUACUGUAGAAAUUUCUGAUGUUGAUGCUAAUGCUAAAUCUCUAAUCCAUUGAAUCUUAAUUAAACCAUCUUUUAAUUAAUAUUGAAGGUUAAUUGCACCAGAAAUUCACAAAUUCUAUUUUUAAAUUGAUCUCUAAACUUUAAAAUGUUAUAAAUGUUCAAAUUGACUCUUAAGUAUUAUCUCUGGGUUUAACAUAGAGCAUAUUUAAAAUAUGUGGAUCAAAUUUUAAACACCUUCAUGCAACUUGACAGUAAGAGGGCUAUUUCCUCUUCUUUUUAACACAUCAGACCCAAGCUGUUAUAGGUACAUAUAUGUUUAAUAUCUGACCACUUAAGCUGACAUUUAACACCCAAACUGACAUUUUGGGUGACAGAAAACUUGACUGAUAGAUACUUAUAUUUUGAGGACUCAAUUAAAAUGUUAAAUUUGAAGCCUAACUUGGAAUCUGAAUCAUACUUACUUGAAUGUGUAGAAUCGUGUCACGGCUGUAGAUAACAUCAAAGCUGUUAUCUGGAUAAGUCUUUGUAGUGCAAUCAGCAACUUCAAAUUCCACAGAGCAAUUGAGUCCAUUGGCUCUUUCAAGAGCAAAAGAUAUCAUAUUUAUGGACAGAUCGAUGCCCACAACAUAGACUCCAAAUUCUUUUGCCAUAUAAAAGUCACCUCCACCUAUGCCACAGCCAACAUCUAGAACCUUUUGGCCAGGCUUUAGAUCCAACUUCGCCACAAAUUCUUUCGUUGUUUCUGCUCGAAAACAUGUUUCAUUUUAGGAAGAAGACCGUGUAAAUUAAAACAAAUAUGCAAAUAUAGAGAUUUGGUUGAAGAGGUAAUACCUAUUCCUCCAGUGCUCACAAAUCCUUCACCAAAGGUACGCUCAUAACGAAGUAUGCUAUUAGCUUUGUACUGAACAGUAUCCAAGAACCGCUGGAAUCCACCAUCAUUAUCUGAACUGACCUUUUCCCAGAUCCAGCAAAUCUGCAUUUGCAAACAAUUCGGUUGAAUCUUGUCCAUAUUGUAUCCAAUUCAGAAAAAUAAUGAUAAUAAAAUGAAAAUCGAUGAGUUCAUGUUUUGUUUUUGCCUGAUUCUGAUUCUUUUUGUGCUUAACAUAAGCACUGAUGCACUUGUAGCCAACUAAAGAAAGUUUAAACGAGUUUCCUGAAUCAUCAGUUGCAUGACAUUCUUUGAAGACCUGCAUUAGAAUACAUAGCCAAACAUCUGUUUAGUAAAACAAUACCUCAUGCUGUUUCAUAUACAUAUUUCAACCCUCAGAGCACAAACCUGUGUGUAAAAUCUUGGCUCACGGUAGAGAGAAGGGUCAUGCUUUUGCUUGCAGUCGCCAGAUUGAUCAAAACAAGCCUCCCUGAAGAAAAUAUGUCCUCCGACUUUCAACCAUUUCAUCAUCCCUUGGGCCAAAUUCUCUACCUGCAUUUAGUGAUGGUUAACACUUAACAAUAGUUAACUUGUGAAACUGAACCAAGUUUUUCUCAUAAAAUUACCUCUUCAUCUGAGAGAUACAUCAGCAGCAAAUUUGAGAAUAUCAAGUCCAUUGAUCCUUCUGAAAUAUCCAAAUCUGGGGCAGUCGCAUCGGCACAAAGGAAUUUGAUGUUCUUAUAAUGUCCAUUGAUGCUUUCAUUCUGCAAAUAAGGAUAUAUCCAAAGUGAAAAAUCUAGUCAAGACCCUUAUGAAAUAGCAAUCUAAAGAAUUUCUGUCAGGUUGUUGAGCUUCAAUUACCUUCUUGAUAACAUCCUCAAUGAAGUCUAAAGCUAUAACACUAUCAGCCUUCUGAGCUAAUUCACCGGUAAAUCGACCAAUGCCAGCUCCUAACUCCAAAAUAGAUUUCCCUUCAUAUGGCGGGAGCAGGGAGAGCACCUGCGUAUAUCAACAAUGAACAAUUAGGAAUCUAAAAAUAAUUAUUGAAGGAUAAACGUAAAAUACAAAAGAACAGCAACACUUAAAAGGUAAUAAUUAGCAUGGAUGUAUAUUUGAGUCUAUCCUACUAUAAUUACAACUGAAAUUAUUCAUAAAUAGAAAAAAUUAAAUAUAAAAAAAAAGAGUCGAAAAGUUGACACUAAGAAUACGUAUAUAUAAAUAAAAAGCAACAAUUCCUUUAAUUGCUUUGAAAAAAGCAGAAUCACAAGGCACAACUUUUUUUCAGCUUUUACAUCAAGCAUUACCUAAAGUUAGUGCUUAAAAAUCAUAUCUUUUUUUUUUAAUCCAAGACCAAAUCAUUUCCUCUAUCUGUGGUUGUUAGAUAAACCAAUUAUUAUGCCAGUACAAAUGAAGAAAAACGACAUCAUUAGCAUAAUUACAGAGUAAUCAUCGUGCCACACAAAACUUAAAGACUAUUAGCAGCCAGCAUGUUAUCGAAUUUUUGUGUUAUGUGUCAUAUAUAUUUUUUCGUGGCAUAAAUAUCUUAAUUUAUAUAUUUAAAUAUAUGCUCUCUUUUUUUUCUUUUCUUCAUAUCAUUCCUGUUCUUGAUCUAGUUUUAGUUAUUUUUCCCGCUUUAAUUUAUGUCACUUCUUUCGUAAUUGGCGCUGCAUUAAAUGAGAUUUUUCUUUGAUAAUAUUUGUAGUAUCGAAUAACUAAUUACUCAUUUAAAAGUUGGAUAAACUCAAACAAUAUAGAUAAUUAAGGAAAAAAGGAAUUAUAAGCUGCGAUGACAACAAUUCAACAAAAUAGAAAACUGAGCAUCAACAUAAAACAACUAAAAUCAAAAUAAAGCUCAAAAUGAGAUUAAUAAAAAGAUCAACGAAUAUAAACACAUACUGGUAGUGAAAAAAGAUUAAAGAAAAGGAAUUAAAAUAAAUUCAAAAUAUCAAUGAAUAAAAAAUUACUUCGAGUCGGUCUUCUUUGUCGAGAUCUGCGUCCUUGGAAUCAAGUAUCGUACCAUCCUCUGUUAAAUCAAUGGAGUGCUCCAUCCAGUAGUUCUUUUGAACCUCACGUUCACCUGUUAUCAUUUUCCAAUUAAUCAGUUCUUUCUUUUUUCUUUUACUAAAAAGUCGAUCAGAUAUCAAUGCUCUUACAAGUGUUUGUUAAAAUUUGUCAAUCGAUUUCGAUUUUCAUUCUUCCAAUUCCGAUAAAAAUGCAAUGAAAUUUUCAGAUGGAGCUUAGAGGUCUCACCGUUAGUCGCCAUGGUUACCGGAGAAAGAUCGCUAGUAAGCUUUUAAGAGUUCGAUUUUUUUUUCUUUUAAAGAAAAAAGAGAGCGAAAAAGAUUUAAAAUCCCUCAACGGCAAGACGAGAUCUUGAAAACGACCUUGAUCUACUGUUUUGGAUCCUUCCUCGCUGCUGCAUCACACACUAAAAUGCAAAAUAAUUUGAGCUAAGAUUACUAUUGGAACUGCAAAUUGAAUUGUGUUGUGUUGUGUUGUGGAAGUUUAAGGCCAUCAUUUUUUUAUAGAGCCAAGAAGGACAAUUUCGUCAUUUCAUAUGAGUACUAUGCAUCUCAAUCUAAAAAGCGAAUUAAUACCAUUGGACACUAAGUACAUAAUUUAAUUGUUGUAGAUUAAAUCAAAUAUUGAAUUGAUUAUUCUGUUAAUAAUUUUAUUUAUUUUUAUAAUAAAAAUUGAUUUAUAUAUGUAGUAUUUUAUAUAUUAUUGUUUGGUUAUUUUGUUAGUUAUAUCAGUUUUUAGUAAUAAAAAUUAAUUUAUAUAUAUUAACAUGAGAUAUAUGUAGUAUUUUAUAUAUUAUUGUUUAGUUAUUUUGUUAGUUAUAUCAGUUUUUAGUAAUAAAAAUGGAUAAAAUUUUUAACAAAAAUUAUCAAUUUACUUUUUAAUUUAACGUACAGAGAUUAAUUAAUGUAUUUAUUUUUUUAAUAAAUGAGAUAAAAUAUAAUUUAACUCUAAACCCAACUUGUAGGUAAAAUUAAAUAAAAGAGAAUGUAUUGGGGGUCAACCAUCCAUCUUUCUUUUUUAUGAAAAAAUAAACUUAUUAUUUCCUAUUGGAUUUUAUUCAUCCAAACUUGGAACCUCUCUACGUUUAUAAGCACCGAACAAAAGUAGUAAAGUACACUUAGGGAACAAUCUAUCUUUUUCUUUUUCCUUUUCUCUCUCUAGAUUAGUAUCUUUUUAGUAAUUUUUUUCUCUUUUUUUUUGAAUAAUUUCAUUACAGUUUUUUAUUACAUUUGCUCUUUUUUGACAUAAUAUCUAGAAUUAUUCAUAACUCCUCUCCAACCCAUAAAUAUAAGGAUAAUAUGUCUCAACGCACUCGAACUCACAUCUUCGUACAUUGACAAUAAUACUUAUGUCAAUCGAGUUAAAACUCAAUCGGCUUUAGUAAUCUCUUUCUUAAUCUCCUGUAUCUUUGGUCAACUUCUCAAGUACCAAGUGAUACUUAUUUAUCUCUUGCUUCAUGAACUCUAAAUUUCUCAUUUCUUUUAGGGAUUUGGUUAAUCAAGAUUAGGAUUGGGUUCUAUUUUUUCUCUCUUUUUAAAGUGUUUGUUUGUUUGUUUGUUUUUUUCUCUUGUUAGGGCUUGCUUGAAUUGUCUAGAAUAGUUUUUUUGUUAUCCUUUUGCUUAUUGUCAAUCUUCUCCUUAUCUAAAAUCCUCUUCGACUCGGUCCUUUUAGGAGCCAAGUAAAGAGUCCCUCUACCUAGUUGAGAGCACAAAUUAAAAGGUUAUUGAGCUUAGGCCUCCUUUGAAGGUGACUAUUGAGUCUAUGAAGCAUCCUUUUAUGUCCAAUUAUUAGGCAUUUUCGUGUAUUUCUCGUUUUGCAUGAAGGGUUGGAAAAUCCUUCCUUAAGGAUGUGCAUUCUAAGCACUGUCAUACAACAUGCGUCCCUCCACCGUUUUGUCAUCUUUUCACACUUGGUUUCGUUUCGAAUAAAGCCAUACUUAGGUCAUCAUAAUGCUAUAAAUAGUCAUAUUUAGGUCUCAAUUAGGUGCGCUGAAAGAGAAAAACAUUAGCUUUCAUAUUUUUAAGUUUUCUUAAAGGUUUUCUUUCAUAGUAGUUGUAGUCAUCGCACUAACGUUCGUCAAAGCAGCAUUUGGAUUGAGAUUUGGAGCUGCAAUUAUUUAAAUAAUAUUUUUUUUCUCUUAAUCUCUUUUCAAUUAUUAUUAGUAUGUUUGCUUGAUCGUUCUUGUUUGUUGAUUUGAUGUUCGUUACCAUAUUUUUUACAUUGCAAGCUCAAUGAUUUAAUUCAUUAUUUACUUAUUUGUUUUAAUUAUCUCUAUUUAGUUAAUUAUUUUAUUUUUACUCUUUUAAUAAUUGCUUUAUUUACUUUUAGUUAAUUCUUAAAAUCAUAUUAAUUUAAUUAAAUUGUUAUGUUGGGAUUUUUAUUUUUUUUCAAAAAUUACAAAUCUCUCUAUGGGAUCAAUCUUCAAUAGAAUUAUUUGAUUGUAAUUUAUUAGUUGACAAUAAUCUCAUAUAUUUAUGAGUAAUGGUGAAAAGUAGUAACAAAUCUUAAACUUUAAUUAUAUAUAUUAAUUGUUAUCAUUAAUUAUAUUCAGAUAAGUAUUUUGCCUGAAUUUACAGAAUAAUAGAAUAAGCUAGGUUUAGUUUAAUUUACUUCUUUUCUUUUUAGUUUUUAAUAGUGCAUGCCUAAGAGUGAUAAAUUUGACGUACCCUUCAACCCUGAGAUAGAGAAAACACUUUGAGACUUUAAGAAACAGAGAAGAGUAAUCGAAAUUCUAAAAACUUUGAAUUCUGAAACCAUGGCGUUACCACCCAAUAAUAUUCAUCUGAUUAAUCCUCCCAUUAACAACAAUAGACCAAAUGCACAAAAUCCAAUUCGUAGAAGCAGUAGAGACUAUUCAAUGCCUGAAGGAGAAAGAAUUCUGGGUAGUAUUAGGUUACUUGAAAAUUUUGAAAAUUUUGAAAUAAAACCUAUUACCUUGAGUAUGCUUUAGAAAAAUGCUCAAUUUUAAUGAGGAUCGAAUUUACAUCUAAGAAGUUUCUUAGAUGUUUGUAAUACUUAGAAAUCCCUGAGAAUAUUGGAUGAUUUCAUCAGACUAACUUUAUUUCCGUCAUAAGUCAAUGGUUACACUCACUAUCACCAAGAUCCAUCACUACCUAGAACCAACUAGCAGCCUGGUUCUUGCUUAAGUACUUCCAAGCCGACGAAAACUGUGAAGCUUAGGAACGACAUUACCUAUUUUACGCAGUAUGAGGCAUGGGAACAUUUCAAAGAUAUCAUUAGACGUUUCCCUCAUCAUGGUAUGGCGGAAUGGAUGGAAGUGCAAGCAUUCUACAACGGGUUAACGCCCAUUUGUAGAUCCACUCGCGAUUGACUUCUAAUUGCUCCUGCCCAAACAAGAGGUAACUAAAAACAACACUAAACUUAACAUGUUAGAAGCUUCUUUUGAGCAGAAAGUGAAGAGUCAUCCAAGUGAAACAAUCACCACACAAAUAAUUUAUUUUUAUGAAAAUAUAAUCAAAUUAAUAUUUUUUUUUUGUAUUGUCAAUCUUUAGGCUGUCUUGUGAAGUCAAGAUAUCUUUUAAAAUAAUGAACUCCAGUACUUUGAUUUGUGAUGGAGAAUUUUUGAGUUUAAAAAUAAAUAAAAUAAAAUCCUAUCAUGCAUAAUUUGUUGCUAGCUUUUAACAGGAGAGAUAAGUAAACUUAUACCUAGUGAUAACUAUAAAAAAAUAAUAUAAAGCAUAAUUGAUUAAAAUAUAUUUCCAAUUUUUAAUUAAAUAAACUUAAUACAUGAUUUUUCUUACAACAUAACUAUUAAUCGAGUGUUUAUUUAUUAGACUUAAAUUAUCAUUGUAUCAAAAAAUUAAUAUUUUUAAAAUUGGAUAGGUGGUUGAAUUGAUUAGACCCUCAAUUCGUCCAUCUUAUCCGAUUAAAUAAAUUAUUAAAAAAUUUAUAAAAAUUUAAAAAUUUCCCAAUCUAAUACCCUUUUCUAUAGUGAUACUCUAAUCGAUUUUUUAUUCAACUUAUCUGAUUUAUGGAUCCAAUCUAAUUCAAUAUAUAUAUACACGCGUGUGUGUGACUAAUUGGCUUUUGGAUUUGGUGAGGGGAUUUCGAGGAAAGAAAUAUAAAAUUGACGAGUGAGCACUUACGACAAUGUGCGGGGGACGUCAUCGUCAUUUUCCUUUUCCACCCCAAGAUUUUUGUCAUUUUGUAGUAAUUUCAUUGAAUGCAACAAUUUCUUUUAUAUAGAAUGUAUUCGGGUCGAGACAAAUCAUCAAUAAUGCAGCAUAGUGAAAUAUUAUUCAAAUAUGUUCCUUUUUUUAAUUUUUAUUAAAUAAGUGGAAUCUGAUUCUUCUAUUAUCAAAAUACAAGUGUCCAAAUUUUAUUUUAGGUAUAAAAACAAAAUUAAAUAAAUAAAUUAUUUGAUAUAGUGGAGUUUUAUAUUUCAGGGUUGUAAUUUAGCUUAUAUUUAUAUUUUAUGUUGAAGGGAUAACUAGGUAACGCAAAAAUGGUGAUGUGAGGAUGUACGAUUCACUUUGUUCUAUAUAAGAUGAAGAGUUAUCAUUUAAGAUGAUCAGAACGGGUGAUAAGGAGGUGAGAAACACGAGAGAGGGAUGGGAUAAGAGAAAGAGCUUGCCUCUGACUCUAGACCUUGGGUCUUAUAUACCUUUAAGACCUAGUGCUAAGGUGUCGCAUGUUAAAUUCUUAUAAGAAUGUGAGACAAUUGGUUAAGUGGUCUUUCAUAUAUGUGAUAUGGAAUAGAGGACCAAAAUUAUAUUCAAAUUGUUUAAUUCGAAAAAGAAUGAUUUAAAUUUGACCUGUAAAAAAAAAUAAAAAAAUUUAGAAAUAAAAAAAAUAAAAGCAUUGAAAGAAGAAAUUUGAUAACAAUGAAUAAAUAAUAAAGAAACAAACAAACAAAAAACGAAAGAAAUUAGAAGAUGGAACGAGUAAACUAAUGGAUAUGAACAAACAAACAAAUUGAAUGAUGAAUAAUAAAUUCUCACGACUCCUUAAAGAAAAUUAAGAAGAAAACUACUUCUAAAAAUUAAAAAAAAAAAUCUUACACAAAAAAACUAACUCCAUAGUUAAAAACGUUAUUAAUGAAAAUAAUUGUCUAUUUAGUGAACAAUGAUGAGGCUUUUAUAUGGGCUAGCUAACUACAUCCAAAUAACUUAAAAUGUUAAAAAAAAUCAAAAUUCGGAAUAAAUAAAUAAUAAAAUAAUUAUACCUAAUAAAUACAAUAUUGUGUUCACAUGUAAUAAAAAUUAAGCCUAAAAAUCGAACCUAAUAUGAUUUGAACUCUAAUUAAAAACUCGUAAUAAUCUCGUCUAAAAAUUCUGCUCGCAUAGUCUACAUUAAAAUGAUCAUAACUUGAGUUCUUGAACUUGAAAUUGAGUGGUUCAAAAUGAGUUUUGAAGUCAAUAGAUAGAUCUUCAAACGCUAUGAAGAUAUCUCAACCCAUAAAUACCUAGAUAUCAUCUAAAAAGUUAACGCAAGUUAGCUAAUUUUUCAAACUUGAAAAUUGACAGUUUCAGUUAAUUGAAUUGAAUUGAAUAAUCUUCACCCCAUCCGUGCAUGUAUCAAUAAGCCUAGGUAAGGUGUAGAGGUGCUCAUGGGCCGGGCGGCCCGGCCCGGCCCGACGGCCCGCCUGAAAUAUGGGCUUGGGCAAAAAAACGAGGCCCGUUUAGAAAACGGGCCGGGCCUUGGGCACCACUUUUUCGGCCCGGGCCCGGCCCGAUAUAAUAAAUAUAUUUAUUUUUUUUAAUGUUAAAAUAUUUUUUACAUACUUUUUAAAUUUUUUUUAAAUUUUAAAAUAUUUUUAAAAUACUUUUUUUUUAAUUUUUUUAAAAUUUAAAAUAUUUUUAAAAUACUUUUUAAAAUUUUUUAAAAUUUUUAAAAUAAAAAUGGGCCGGGCCGGGCUUAUGAUUUUUCCCUGGGCCGAGCCUGGGCAAAAUCUUAGGCCCAUAUUUCGGGCCGGGCCGGGCCCAGGCCUAGGACAUGGGCCAAAAUUUUUUUAUGGGCCCGGCCCGAACCCGACCCAUGAGCACCUCUAGUAAGGUGGCUAUAAAACAUGUUUUUAAUCACAUCAAAUGUGAUAUGGUGGUUGGAGUCUGACACGUGGAUUAAUAAGUGGGAGUCCUCUUUAGUGUCAAGCUAAAGAGUAUUUUCAAGAGGCGCUCUUAAGAGGUUCAUUUAGACCACAAGCGAGUUCACUGCUCAGUCCCAAUUAUUAGAGUAUAAAAAUUUCAUUACCUAAAAAAAUUCUACUGACAGUAUAUCGAAUAGUAAUACAAAGUAAUAUACAUAAAGCUCGCGAGAUGUGCUCAAUUCCAUAUUUGACACUUGUCUAACCUGUAUAAUUUAUACACAUUCAAUAAACUAUAACAACAUACAUGUUAAAAAGUAUACAUAACAAUUAUAUUAAUAAUCAUUAAAUCCAAUUCAAAUUAACUUACUAAUUAGAAUAAAUUCAUAGAAAAAUCUUACAUUUACAUAGAGCGACUUUAAACAUAAAAUUUCAAAAUUCUCAAAAAUUUCUUUAUGUAAAUUAACAUUCGUAUUAGCGGACCCAACCUAUAUUUGAACCUAAUGGAGACCUUAGGCCCAAUAUCGAUAUGGGGACCCAAUCCAUACUUGAAUCUAAUGGAGACAAAUGGCAAAAUUCCAUUAUUUACUUUCGAAAUAUGGGGGACUCAACCCAUAUUUUGAACCUAACAAUAGGCCCAAUACCAUUAUUGACUAUUGAAACAUAGGGGACCCAACUCAAAUCUAUAUUUGGGCCUAAUACCAUUAUUUACUAUUGAAAAAUAGGACCCAACUGAUGGCCGAAAAUAUAUAGGGACCAAACCCAAAAUUGAACCUAAUGGAGACAAUAGGCCCAAUAAUACCAUUUCUGCAAGGGGAUCGGACCCAUAUUUGAGCCUAUGCACUCCUUCAUUAUCAUUUUUGUCAUGUUUAAUCCUUAAUUGUAAGUUGAGUUCCAAUGGAUCAUACCCUAUUUGAGUGGUAAUCAUCAAUGUAAUGAAACAAAUGUUUAAUAAUAGUAAUCAGAAUAUGUAAUGUAAUUCUAAUAACAAGUUCAUAAAACAAUGUAGCUGACUAAAAUAUGCAGAAACGUAAAUUUGUUCUUUAAUUAGUAAGAUAAGAAACCGAUAAAUUGAUAAACCAAUUAUUGCAAAACAUUCAAAUAUAUGCAUAUUGAUGCCUAACCCAGAGAAACAAUCAUUUCUAAUGGAUAUCAUACAACGAAUGUAUGAAAUAUCAUGAUGUCCAUGAUCUUAAAAUUUCAUGAUUCCUCUACUUCAAAACAAACCUCACAGUAUCAUGCUAUUCAGUAUUGGAUUUAUAUAGCUAAUUGGAUAUCAGCUCGAUUGACAUCGGUAUUGUUAUCAGUAUAAAAUGAUGUGGGUUCGAGUGAACUGAAGCACAUUAUCCUCGUAUUCAAAAAGUUGGAGAGGGAUUAUAAAUAGUUCUAAAUGAUAUUAAUGUUAAAAAAAAUAUUAAAACUUUAAAUUUAUAUUAUUUAAACAAAGGCCUAACAAAUAAAACUUUAACCAAGAAACAAAUGUCGGCAAUUUUAAUUUAAUUAGAAAACUUGCAACUCGUACAUCCAUGUUUGAGUGCAUGCUUAUAAAUUGUGGUCGUGGGCCUUUCCCACUAGGUUUUGCCUUUUUCUGGGAAUUAUAUAUAUAUAUAUAUAUUAAUAUCGGAUUAAAAAAUUUUAUUUAUUAUUACAUAGAUUAUUUUAAGUUAUCAUUUUUAUUAUUUUCAAUAUUAUAAGAAAUCAAUUGAUUUAUUUGAUAGUAGAAGGAUUCAUUUGAUCCGGUCCUGUAAUAGAAAGAAUUGAUAAGUUUUUCACUUAUAUAUAUGUAACAAGUAUAAUUAUAUUAACAAAUUUAAUGACUGAAUUGCUAAAAUAUUAAUUAUAUAAAAAAAUAUAAAAUGUUUUAACUUUAGACAAAUAUAAAUAAAUUUCUGGAGUUAUAUAAAUAUAAUAUUAAGAGCAUGUCCUUAAAGAAACGACAACCUAUAUGCUUUGAAGUGUAAACUUUCAAAAACGUGAUGACAAAAAGUUUUGUGACUCACAAGAUGAUAUGGGAAGACAUGCAUUAAAAAAUGACUUCUUUUGAUUUUAUUUAUUUAUUUUUAACUUUACGAGGGAGCAAUUUGGGUAAAAUCCAAGAUUUAUUAUGAUUCCAACCAUUGCUAUUAUAUAUAUUGACAAAGAAAAUAAAAUAUGGGAUCAAUAUAUUUGCCCAUAUUAUUCACAAACCAUCUGCCUUAUCCUCUCAAAGUUGCCCCCUUUUCUUUUAAGAAUAUAUCAUAUUUUAUACAUGAGAUUACAACACGCUCGCAUUGCGAUUUACGAACAAAAUUAUACGAGAAUUUGAUUAAAAUGAUAAAAUUUUAAAAAGAAUGGUUUUUUUUAGUCAUUUUUUAAUUGAGUUUAUACUCAGUUAACUUGUGAUAUAAACUCAACCAAAUAUAAAUAUUUGAUUCAUAUAUUAAGAGAAAGCAAUGGAAUCACUUUGAUAUAUAUUGGAACUUGUUUAAACUGAAGUUGUACAAACACAGAUAGUCAAUCUAAUUACCCUACAAAUCGCAUACCCUAUUUCCAAGAUUCAAAUUGAAAUAAAUAAAUAACCUUAAAACAAGACAUUCCUUUUUUAUGGAACAUCUGUUAAGUUGGUUUUGCAUAAAUUAUAAUUUUUUAUAAUCGAUUUUUCAAGUUCUCGUAUCGUUGGAGUUUCGAAUUAUUUGAGAGAUAUUAGGGAUUUAAAUAAAAUGUUUUAAUUAGAAGUAAGUAAUAUAAAAACAGUAGAUAUUGUGCAUACUGUUACCGAGAUUCAUUUUGCCCAGCACCAAUUUUAUAAACAUUCGUUUAAGACCACUUUCACUUUUCACGUGCAGUGGACGGACACUCUUGACUCUUCCAAUAAUAUAUUUUUGAUUGGAGUAUAAUAAUAUUAUAAUAAAAUAAAGGGUAGCGGUUAUUCAAUUAUGGAUGAAAAGUUAUCAAUCCGUCACUUAAUUUUAUCCUCAUUUAAUUAAAGUAAAAAUAGGACCAAAAAAUGAAAUUAAAUAAUUGAAUAAUGAUUGUUUUAUAAUUAUUUUAUAAUUAAAUCACCAAAUAUAAGAUUGCUGCAUGCGUUGCGUAAUAAACUAAGCUACAAUAAAACAUUAAAAUAAUAAUUUUAUUAUUAUUAUUAUUAUUUCCUUCUAUCCCUUUCAGUAGUUUUUAGAAUUUUAACCACGAAUAAAAACAAACUCACGUGCAUGCACACAAAGUUCUAUGCAGUUGCUCUUAUUCUUUUCUUUUUUUUUUCUCAAAAGUAAUUAUUAGUUCCACUCUAUUUUUCAAAUAAAUAAUUUUCUCAAAUUUUUAAAUUUAUUUAUAGCAUUUCUACUUUUGUUUCAUUAAUUUGCUCGACAUUAAUAUGUAGAGGUUCUAUGUUAGGAGCUAGACCGCAUUGUCUUCUCUGUUAUAAAAAUGUAUAAAUUAGGUUAUAUAUAUUAGAAUAAAAAGUAAAUUGAUUAUAUUUAUUAAAAAUUAGUCUCGUUGACAGAUUAGCAAUUAAGUAGUGACACUUGAUGUGCCACAUGUACCUUAAGUUGAUGUAUAGAAAUCAAAUUUUAAGAGUAGAAAUAGUAACAAAAGGACCAGUUUGCUCUUUAAUCUAAUGUAUAAGUACUAAUUUGUCUAUUUGUUGAGUAAAGGGAACAAAAUGUAAUUUAGUUUCUAGUAUAGGGGCCUCCAUGGUACUUUUAACACUUUUUACAUUUUUUUAUUACAACUAUUUGUUUUUGUUUUUAUUAAUAAUUAUCAAUUUUUUUAAAAAAUAGUAAUUGGGUAAAUUUAAAAUUAUACAUGACAUUUGAUUUAAUGUUUAAUUUUAUACAAUAACUUUAAUUUUGUAUAAUUUUAUAAAGUAUAAAAUAUCGAUUUGAUUAAAUUCUUACAAACUAUUAACACAAUUAUUGAUAUAACAUCAUUUUAUGUUUAUAUAUUAAAUACACAAAUAAUUGUAUUUAUCUAAUAUAAAAAUAAAUUGACAUAUUUAUUUUUUAAAAUGCGUAUAAUUGAAUUAAAACUAAAGUUUCGUGUAUAUAACCACAUCAAAUCAAAAUCCAUGUAUAUCAAAUUGCACAUUGAUUCAAAAUUAAUGUAUAAUUUUGAUAUUUGUCCUAAUAAUAGUUAGUAGUUAACAUCUCAAUUAGUUAUCAAUUGAUAUUAGUUAUAAACCUUAAUUAUUAAUUAUCCAAUAAUGUCCUUACACAUGAUUUUGUCUUUUUGCAACUACAUAUAUUUAUGUUAUAAUUAAGGUAAAUGAUUAUGAAAUUAGACUCUUCUAAUUGUCUUCCACGCGUGAUUAAAUUACUUUUACAAAACAUUAUUUUAUAUUUAUUUCAGAAAAGCAUGGAAAUUCAAACAUGCAGGCUUGAUUUAUAUGUCGUCAUUAAUACUUACCCAAAAUUAAAGAUAGUUAUGUGACCAUUAAAGAUAAAAUUAAAAAGUUUAGUGACCAUUUUGUAAUUUUUCAUAAUUAAUUGAUAAAAAAAGAGAUUUACUAAUAGUUGGGUGGCAAAAAUGAAAAAAGAAACCCAUAGUUGCUGACUAUUAAUGUAGUUUGCCCAAAAUAAGAAUUGGGCAUAAUGAUUUUUUGGCCCUCCAACUUUACAAAAGAAAAUGUCAUUUUAGCUAUCCAUUUAAUUUUUUGCCUCUUUUAGCCUUGAACUUACGUUGUUUGUCAAAUUACCCCAAAAUGGAUGAAAAAUUAACCUUUGUUAAUUUUGUUGAUGUAGUAUACACGUGGAUAAUGUCACAUCAACAGUUAAUUAAUUUUAAAUUUUAAAAAAAUAUUUUCUAUAAUUUUUAUACAUUUUUAAAAAUGUUAAAUUUUUUAAGAUAUUUUUUAAAUUAAAAAAUAAUUAAUUGUUGACAGGGUUUAGACUUUAGAGUGAUUGACAAAUAACACAAGCUUAAAAAUAAAAAUGGACGAAAAAUUAUAAAUCAUUAUGCUUAAGAAUAGCUCUAGUUCCGCAGCUAUUUAUUUGUAGAGUAUAAAGCUUGAAAAUACUACGCCGAUCAACGUUGCAUCAAAGUAAAAUGGUAGCUUUCUAAAUUUCUUAAUUAUAUUUUUAUUUAUUAAUUGUUUUUAUUUUUAUACUAUUUAUUUUUUAGAAUUUAUAAAUGUUGGGAUAAAUUCGAUUAAACAACGAACAAAUAAAAUAUUAAAGAAAUUGAAAAGAUCAAACACAAAUAAUUUACGUGAAAAAAUUCUUCCGAAGAGGAUAAAAAACCAUAGAUAAAGAUUAUUUUACUAUAAUGGCAAAAACGAAUGGUACAAAGAUGGAAACAAAACUAAGCCCUGAAACUCGAAAAAAAAAACCCUUAAAAUGUAAACACAAAAUUCUUUAAAAGCUUGUGAAAGCUAAUACCUAAAUAUGUUAUGGGUUAUUUUUGUAGACUAAUCAGAGUUUAAGUGUGAAACUAAAAAAUAAAGUUUAACUAGGAGAAGAAAAAUUGAAAAAUACGAGACCACAUUUCAAUGAGUUUUUUUAACGAUAGUGAACUGAACCGAUUAACAUGAUGAAUGAACUAGUGACCCAACAAACCUUCUGAAAUAUUAUAUAAGAGUCAAACAUUUGAAAUUAUUAAAAAAAUGACCAAACAUUUUCGAACGUGCUAAAAUAAGAAUUUUUUUUUUCACAUUUCAUCCUAAUUUAUUGUACAGAGCAGGUGAAAACAACAUGUUUAAAAUAGAACACAUCACAAUUAAGUUAGAUAUUACUUGAAAUGACAUAAGAUAAAAAUAAAAUUUGAAUCUUGAGAUAUGACAUUUGAAAAAUUCUUAUUUGAGCACCUUCUUAAAUGUUCAACACUUAUUUGACUAUUUUGAAAGAUUUGACCAUUAUGCGAGCGACUUCUAAAAGGUUCAGCCCUAAUUUGAGCAUUUAAUACAAAUUAAAAUAUAAAGACUUGUGAGGGGAGGUGAGACUCGGACCCUCGAAUAAUGGAAGUAUAGUGCUCAGGAUGUCCAUGAUUAGUUUUAUUCCCAGGUCUCCUAACUCAUAGGAGAGCCUAAUCUGGUUAAUAGAGUUUAGGAAACGCAUAGCCAUCAAGGGCAUGGGUUGAAAUCUCAAAUGAUACAAUAGAGGGACCAGAACCAUAAUUUAACCAAAAGACAAAACUUAUAGGAAAAAAAGAAAAAAAGAAAAAAAAAAGAAAAGAGAGGCAAAAAGGUGGGUGGAGGAGAGAGGGCAUAGGGGCAAGAGGUGAGAAACCCACGAAGCAUUGUCGGAGAAACGGCCGACCCAACACCUGUUAGUGGGAAACAAUACAUCUAUCAGUCCCAUUUCAUUACAAUAUACCCACCAACAAUAUCACCAAUCAAUUUUAUUUUAUUAAUUUUAAUUUAAAUUUAAUAUUAUAUGGAGGUGAUAAAGACAACACUUACGUUGCUUUUUCCUUUUCAUUUUAUUGUCCUAAAUUUUUAGUGCUUUGUUUUCUUUCUCAUAUUUUGUGAUACUGUUAUCAUAAUACUUCCUAACUUCUUUUUCUGUUUUCCCACUAACUUUUCGUUUAAUUCAUUAAUCAUCGUUACAAAAUCUUAGACAUUUGUGUGUUAUAUCUUCCAUUUAACGCCUCCUUUUUAUUUUUUAUUAUUAAUUACUUAAUUAGCGGUAGAUUUAGGGUUUAAUUAAAAUUUUGAAAAGCAUAACUGCCAUUUUUAGGAUUUUAAAUUUCUUUUGAAAGUCUAAUUAAAAUUUUUAAAAUACUAUAAUUGUAUAAUUAAAAUUUUUAAAAAUUUAAGGGACCAAAAGUGCCUCUAAGACUCAACGACUGCUUGAAUCUUCAAAAAUAGAAAUUCAACACUCUUCUUUUUACAAACCCAUGUUAUUGAAUGCCGACUCAGUAGACCACAACUUGUUUUUUUUCAUAUUUUUUAUUGGAAAAUUAAAUUAAAUAGGCUUCAAUAUUUAUUGUUAAAAACAUUUAAAAAAUUGAAAUAAUAUUUUUUUUAAAUGUUUAAUGAAAUGAACUUUUUCAAACAAGCACUUAAUUAGCUUCUAUUUCAUUUCCUUAUGCUUAUAUGUUCAUUUAACAUAUAGGAGAAUAUUCAAUUUUUUCGGUAUUUUUUAAAUUAAAUCAACUUAAUCGGCCAUCGUCUAUAAAAAUUGACCUGAACGAAUUAGAAUUCAAAAAUCGACAUGAUCGAACUAGUUUUAGAUUGAUCUAUUAACUGAAUUAGUCGGCUUCGUUUAUUGAACUUGAAUAAUAUAUAUUUAUUUUAUAAAUUACAAAUAUAAUUUAAAUAUUUUUUUUUCAAACGAUUCGGUUUGAAAAUUUAAAAACCAAUAAUCGAUUGGAAUAGCCAACCGAACCAAACUUAAAACCGAAAAAUCACCCAAACUAAAAUUGAUUGGGUCAAUUUAGUUAGUUUUCUCGAUUUUAAUCGAAAAUUACUUUUCUCUAAUUCCACAUGUUAAUGAGACGUUAAUUUAACGGUAGAAUUGAAGUUUUGAUUAUAUAAAUAUAUUUAGAUUAUUGAGUAUUCAACCCAAAAAGAUAAAUAAGGAUAAGGGAACUUUAGGUUGUUUGUCAAAAUUUUGUGCGGGAAUCAUGAAAAAGCAGCUUAAUUUAUUCAAAACAACACCACCAAUUUUCUCUAAAAUAUAUUUUUAUGAGAUAAAUUAGAUUAAUUAAUUGACUAAAUGGAGUUCAAUUUAUUAUAUAUACCACCAUUUUUCAUGGCUUUAUUAACUUUUUAUGCCAAAUUUAACCUGAAUUUGUGGUCACGUUUGGCAUUUGAUGUGCCACACAAUCAUGCACCUAUCAUCACAAAUGUGUAACUCAUAUAUAAUAUACAUAAAAAUAUUACAAAAUAAUACAAGUUGGUAUGCAAUUUUCAAAGGUAUAAAUGAGAAAGUGAUACUCGUAAGUUAUUUGAGCUUGAUUGAAAAAAAUUAAAGAGUCGAGCUUGAGCUAUUAAACAAAUUGAAUUUAAGCACAAUAAUACUUGGUUUUUUAUUUUAUUUUAUAUCAUAACUACAUUUUUACCCUUAUUAUACUGGAAGAUCUUACAAAUGAAUAUGAACGAGUUUAAUUGAGCUUGAGUGUGAAAAUCGAUAAAAUAACUUAAUUAUAUCUAGAAUUAAUAUUGGAUCGAAUUCAAAUUAAUCUUGAAUUUCGAGUCCAACUUGAAUUUAAAUUUGGCAGCAAUGAAAUUCCACUCUACUCAAUAACAACCUAGUUGAAAAGAUCUAUUAACGCAAACAUAAACAUGGGUAUAUAUAUUAUAAAAUAAUAGGCAUGCAAAAGGUAAAGUAAUGACCAAAGAAUAUUCAUGAUGCAUACAUAAGUUAACGUGAAUCUUAUAUUUAAGAUGCCAAUCAUAUAUCAUGCCACCCAACAAAGAAUAUUCAUUAUAUGAUAAGUCAAUUUGUGUUCAUCAAAAUACAUACAAUAACAGUAACAAUUAAUAUAUAUAAUGUACAUAAAAUUUCACAAUCUCCUGUCCUUUCCCAUUCACUUAAUAUUGUUAAGUUGCUAAGAGCCAAACUAGAUAUGACCCAAAAGUUGGUAACAAUGGAUGAGCUUAUUCAUAUAUAUAUUUCAACUCUAAAAUCAUUAAAUAACUACUCUAAAUGCAAUAUAUAUUGUGUUGAGAUAAAGUUGGCUUCCAUGUAACCAAGCAUUUGCUGUAUAUUUUCUCUUCUUUUUGUUGGAGAAUUAUUGUAAAGAUGCCAAACACUUCAUUAUGAAAAUGAAGAAAAGAUUGUUUUUUUCUUGCUUGUCAGAAUCUGAUGGGUGUCUUCCAAUAACCACAUGCAUGUUUAUGUUAUGGGUUUUAUAUAGUGAUGUCAUUUGAGUAAGGAUUUGGUAAAAGAAUUUGGUUAAUGGGAAAAUUUAAGGUCAAAAUAUUAUAGCGAUAUUAUUUUUUUGACAUAAUAUUUAAUUUAUCUUCAAAAAGAUGAUGUAUUUUUCUACACUCGAACUCUAGUCCUUUUAUAUUGAUAAUAAUACUCAUAUCAAUUAAACUAAAAUUCGGUCCGUAAUCUAUUUACGAAUUCCUAAUAUGUUACAUAAUGUGUUUUAUAUCUUAUCAGUAAAUCAUAAAAUAUAAUGUAUAAAGUAAAGAUAAAGUUUGAUGUGGUAUCGUGGAUCACUGGAUUGCUUUAUAUUAGAAAACAACAAGCAUAUAAUAAAAAGUUAGGGCUGCAAUUGGGUGGAUAAGAAUGUCAAAAUUGUUGAUUAAAUUCUUUUGACAAGGGAGUCUUGGAUUGUAGUGCCUAGAAUUUAGGGUAUUAAUUUCAUAAGCCCCACUAGACUACCUUAUUAAACCAGAAAUUAAUAGCGGUCAAAUUUCAUUAUUAGUCCCCAUACUGUGUAAGUUACAGAUUUAGUAAUUAUACUCUAAUUUGGUCAAUUUAAGUCCUUGUACCUUUUGGAUUUAUCAAAUUUAGUCUUUCUACUUUUCGAAUUUUGAAAUUCUAGUCAUGAAUCAAACGGUAGCAAUUAAAUCCAUAUGGUCAAGUUAUGUUGUUAGUCCAGUACUAUAUGUAACUUUGUAGAUUUAGUCUAUGUUCUCCAAUUUUGAUCAUUUUUAUUACUUAUAUUUUUCAGAUUUUAAAAUUUUAGUCUUGACGCAAAAGAUAACUACUAAGUUCAUUAAUUGUAUUUUGUUGUGGGUACAUAAUAUGCGAGUAAGCUGACUUUGCAUUACAUAUAUGAUAGUAUGUUUGUUGGGUAAGAUUUUGGAAAUAGUAGAGCUUAAUAAUUUUAAUAGCUACUGUCUGGUCAAGACUAGAAUUUCAAAAUUCAAAAAGUAUAAGGACUAGAAAUGACCAAAUUUAAAUACAUAUAUAGGCUAAACCCACAACUUAUACAUAAUACAUAAUGUUUUUUUCAUCUAUUUAUCGUAUGUGAAUUGUAUAUGUGAAUAUCAUGUCCUCUUUUAGAUGUUAUAUAUUAAUAAUAUACAUUAUGUAGUCAUUUUGUCUAAUCAGAAAUGUAGAUGCAUACUCGUAUCAAAUACAUACUUAUAAUUAGAGGUGGAUCGUAAUGAAGGUUAAUUAGAGGGCUUGCCCUCCCAGAAUUUUUGAAAAUUUUCAUUUUCUUUUUAAAAUUUAUUGAAAAUUUUAAUUUGGCCCUCCAAUUUUUGAAAAAUUUUAUCAUGCCUUUUAAUGUUUUUGAAAUUUUUAAUUACGUUCUUCUGAUUUUUUUUAAAAAAAUCAUUAGAACCCCAUUUUUUGAAAAAAAAUCUCGUUAAACUCUUAAAGUUUUUAAAAAUUUUAAUUAUGCCCAAAAACUUAAUCCCAAAAUUCACCACAGCUUAUAAUCAACUCUCAUUUCGAAUUUGUGUAACUUACUCACCGUCUAAUCAUGAAAUAUUAAUCGUUGUUUCGAAUUUUGCCUUCAAAAUUCGAAACUAAGCUGUCGAAUUUGAAAAAAUCGAAUCGAAAUAGAAUCUCAACUCGAAAUUUUCAAGUUCAUGGAUGCUGACAAGGAUGCAAUCGAAGAAGAAAAAAAAUAAUACAUAUGAAUUUUCAUUAACUCAAUGAUCACAUUUUAAAUUAUUUUCAUUUUUUUUUACUAGUUUCUGCCACAACAAUGAAGAUGAAGCUUGACCUAUAUUCAAUCAAAUACUACAUAUUCUAUAGGGCAAAAAUUUUCAUGCUGUCUGAAAUUUUAGCAAUGUCAUUGGCAGAGUAAUGUACUGACAAAUUACGUGUCUUAUUUACUUGCUGGGAUAUGUCCCCAUUAUAAAAAAAUAGUCAAUAUUCGACAAAUUCCUGCUUCUUUGUUCCUUUGCUUGGUCCGACAUAAUGUGAAAAUUUGCCAUUCUUUCGAUUGCGUUUUCAAACUUUAUUCAAACCUUAAAUUCAAUAUGAAGAUUUAAAACCCUAAUCCUUUUCAACGUGAUUUAAACAUUAAACGUUAAAUCUAAUAUAAUCCUUUACUUUGUCUAAUGUAAUACAACAAGUUUUUGACCCGAUAAUGUGAGAUGUUAUUUAUUGAUGGCUGCAUAAAAUUUAUACACGGAUGAUGAAUCGAAUAUUAUUAUUUUUAUCGGUAAAAGUACUGUGGAAUUAAGUAAGAUUGCAUUUUGUCCUAUUUACUCAACAAAUGGGUAAAUUAAUCUUUAUACAUUAGAUCAAUGGGCAAAUUCGUUCUUUCUAUUAAAAAUUUCAUCCAUUUCUACUAUUAAAAACUGACAUGGCUGACAAAAUAACCAGACAGUUUUGUCACGUGUACCUUAUGCUAAUGCACAUGGACUAGUUUUUAACAGUAAAAAUGGAUAUAAUUUUUAAUAGAAUGGCUAGUUUCUCUUCGAUCUAAUGCACAAAGAUUAACUACUAUUAAGAAGAUAAUGCGCUUCAACUUACUUAAGCACACGUCCUCCUGUAUUGACAACAAUACCCAUGUCAAUCGAGCUAAGACUCAAUUGACACUUAUGAUCUUUUUCUUGCAUUACAGGUGUAUAAUGAGUCAAUUUAUGGGCCUACUAAAUUUAUUUUAUUUUUAAAUUUAGCUAGAAAUCUAUUAGCUUAAUUUAGUAAAUAACCCCAUUGCAUAAUUACGUGAUUCUAAUUAAAAUCAAAGUAUUUGGUAAUCAAAACUAAGGAUUAGAUUCUAGAAACAGAAUUUCUUAAGCUAAUUAAUGUUAUUGACAGGAGAGAUGUAGUUGCUUACACUAGCUAAAAUCAGCUCACUCACUCUUUUCAGUAAAUUAUAUUUAAUAUAGUCAUAAUAUAUAAUUUUAUAAAAUUUUAUAAAUGUACUGUAAUGGAAUUAUAAAUUUUUGAAAAAGUAAAAAAUAUAAAACUAUUAUGUAUUAAUUUAUAAUUUUAUUAUUUUUUAAGGGACUAAACAUAUAUUUUUUAUUUUUAGAUAUUUUAUUCCAAAAAAGUUAUAUGGAAAUAAGAAUGGCACACAAAGCACCAAAGAUAAAAAGGAAAAAGUGUAAAAGAUUAGAAAAAGAAGAAGCAAUGUAUAAGAAUAUAAAUAAAUGUGUAAUUAUAAAGAAGAAAAAGAUGAAGAAACUAUGGAUGCGACUGAUGUCUCCCAAUAUUCCAAAGGACUCACAUAAUAUUAUAUUAUAUAUAUACACCCUUCAUCCUAGAUUUAUAACAUCAACAUAAUCUUCAUGGGUAAGAUUUGAUAAUUUAUAGAAUAUAGAUACACCUAUUUGAAAAGGAAAAACAUAGACAAUAUUGUUAGAGUUUAGGGAAUAUUAUCUUUUUAGUAUAUUAAGAGUUUAAUUACAUUUUUGCUCAUUUUACUAAAAAAAUAGGUAAAUUAAUCCAUAUAUGUUAGAUUAAAGAGCAAACUAACCUUUUCCUUAAUUAAAAUUUUCAUCCAUUUCUACGGUUAAAAACUGGUAUGGCUGACAAAAUAGCCAAACUAUUACACAUGGUGCGCUAUGUGCAUCUUAUGCUGAUGUAUAGAGACCGUGUUUGCUUUUUGAUGUAAUAUUUAGAGACUAAUUUCUCCAUUUUUUGAGUAGAGGGGGUAAAACGCAAUCCAACUCUUAGUAAAAUGGCCUCCAUGGGACUUUUACCUAAAUUUAAGCUAUGUACAAACAUAAUAGAUGCACGUGACAUGCCACAUUUAAUUAUCUGGUUAUUCCAAUAGUGUGAAAAGAUUAAUUUACUUAAUUUUUUAAAUAAAAUUCAAUCCAACCCAAUCCAAUUGGUAAUACAAAUAACACCACAAUACAUUUACCAAUAAUACCUUCAUAAUUAGCAAUUCAAAUGAAACAUUAAUAUAAAAUUUUCCUCAUGUACCCAUCAUUUUCAACUUAUAUUUUCUCAUUUAUUUUGGGUGACUUUUCAAAAAAGAGCAUAAAUUCGAAUAACAACUCUAAAUAAAGAUUAAGUAGAAAGAAAAAAGAAAAAAAGAGAGGAGAAUUUGUUUUCUUAUAAAAUUGACUACAAAUAAGAUUUUACAAAUUUUACUACCAAAAAAAAGGAAAAGAAAACAUUUGCAAUGAUACCCUCGAUUUUCUUUUCUUUUUUGUGGCUUUGAAUUUUCAACGAGGGGUUUUAAUUUCUUCGCAUCUUUGACCCUAAAAAAAGGGGCUUUCUUUGGUUGGCUUUAAUUUUGAGGUGAUGCCAUAAAUUCUUUGAUACCGGUCAUGCCCCCACUUCAUAUACCCAAUAAAAUGUAGUACACUAGCGUUAUGGGCAAAGCUAUUAGCAUCCCAAAAAUAACACUGCAAUUAAAUUAAUUUAAAAUAAUUAAUAUUAAUAAUAAAAGAAUAAAAAAAGAAUAAAAUAUUUAAAACACUUACGCUGUGCUGAGAAUAUCAGGGUGUACGUUGUAUUCCUUGGCAAAGACAAAGGGGACAAUUCCUUGUGGGAGAGCUGCCUGUUAUUUGUUUAUUUAUAAUAAUAAUAAUAGUAAUUUUUUUAAGAAAAAUAGAUGCAAAGCCAAAAAAAAAAAGACAAGUUAAAAUUUGUAUAAAUGUAAAAUACCAUUUAUAUCGAAUUUUAGUUUUGCUUAUAUUUUAAUUUGACAUGAAUUGAUUAUUUUAGUUUAUAUAAUCGUUAGUUAGAUGGACAAGGAUAUUAUAAAAAAAUCAAAUUAUGUCUAAUGAAAAUAUUGAGACUAAAUUAUAAAAUUGAACAGAGUAAAAGUACCAAAAUUGAAAUUUAACUUUUUUUCAGAGGCAAGUACUGUGUCUAAUUCAGAUUUUAAUUUAUGAGAUAGAACAAUAUCUAGCCCGACAACUAUUUUUUAUCAUUUGAAAAUUUUAAAAUUGUAUAUAAAAUUUAAAAAUUAAAAAAUUAAAAUUUUAGAUUCUUUUAGAAACAAAAACAAUCUCAGUGUGGCAUAUCAAAUUAGGACCAAAUUAAAAAAAACUGUUUAAGAGAUCAAGAUGAGAAAAAUUACUAAGUUUAGUGACUAAAUAUUAAUUUACCCUUAUUUAUUUAGGCAAAGUGAAAGGAAAAAGAAAAAAGAAAAAAGAAGUGACCUGGACAAUGGCAACGUGUAAGAGAACGCCUUUAAGACCAACAGCAAUGGAAGCAGCAGCCAUGACAGCUGGUCCUGUAAGGAAUCUCACGGCCAUUGCAAAAGCUGCAACCGAAUUCCCACAUGCUAUGAUCUUUGGUUGCAAUGCCAUAAACAGACCUGUCAUUCACAUCAAACCGUGCCAUGCACCCCCCAACAUUAGAUUUUAAAACAUUUAAAUGAAAAAAAACACCUUUCAUCAUUAUUUCAACAUAUAUAUUAUCAUUACCAAACACUGUUUUUUCUUUGUUUUCUUUAAAAAAUGAUUUGUUGUUUGUAAUAAGAGACACUGACCAAGACUGAACAUAGCCAUGCCGAGACCUGCAUCUGACAGUAUAGAUAUCGACUUUGCUAUUAUUGCAGGCAUUUCCACAUUCCACCUUCAAAAACAAAAAAGACCAGUAACAAGAAAGCUUCAUUACGAAUGAUGCACAAUGAGGGAGGUGGAUCUCGUAACCUCAAAUAGUAAAAGUAUUAUGAAUGGAGUGUUUAUAUUGGAUUUUACAUUUUAGGUUUUUAUUUUUUAAUUUUGAGAAGAGUUUAAUGAGUUCAUGGAGUGUGGAAAAAUUUUGGUGGGAUUUAAAUCUUUGCCUUUAAAUGAUAUUAGUGAAGAAAAAUACUAUCAACUCGUUAAAAUUUUCUCGAAGUUGGAAGAUAAAAAAUCGAAAAUAAAAUUGACCUCUACUAUUUAAAGAUCAUUUGAGUAUUAGAUAUUGACCUCCAUCAUGUAAUAAAGAAGGUUUCUAGGUUCAUACCUGAAUGAGAUUAAUGACCAAGUGAGACCAAUUAAGCUUGAAUAAGUAUUGGGGUUUCUAAUAAGUUUUCUCCAAACCAUAAUCAAUAUCAGCCUUGUCAUUACACUCGUUGGUGGCAUGGUUUUAGGGUUAGCAAUGGCAAUGGCUUCCCCAACUUUGUUGUUUUCACCACUUUCUUGGACAUUGUUCAUUUCUCUUCUGUUCCCAAAACUGAACUCAUCUCUUUCCAUAAACUCCUCUUGAUUAUCUCUAUGUCCUUCCACUGUCAACAAAACAAACAAUCAUAUAUAUAUGUUUAAAAAACUAGUUAAAUGCCGUAAAAAUAUUCUUUAAAUUAUGAAUUAAAUUAUAUUUUGUUUCACGUAUUUAAAAAAUAAGUAAAUUAAUUUUACACAAUUAAUAUUUUCUAUUAAAUUUUUUUAUUUAUUUUACUAAUAAAAAUUAUCUAAAAUUUUUAUUUACUCUUCAACCUAAUCUCCAUCUAAUUUUACCAUUCAUGUGUAGGUAUUAAAAAACCAGGUCAAAAGCUUGUACCUUUGCCAGGGGAGACAGCUAACCGAACUUCUUUCUGGUCGGUAACACCAUAUUCAUGGCCACCGCCGAACACAUCUGAUACCGGAGAAGCACUUGAACUCCAAACAAACAUAUGAAGAUCCUUACCACCACCAUCUUCAACCUUUUGAUGAGCUUGUCCAUUAGGUUUCUUAACACCUUUAGACCCAGUUGGUGAAAACAUACCCGGAUUAGGAGCCGGGUAGUGUCCCGUUACACCACUUUGUCCAUGGUAAUGAAACCUCGGCUUACCAGAACCAUCCUCCUCGUAAUUUGAUGGUCUGGGUGUCGGUCCACGUGAAGCAGACAUACCAUAAACAUCACCGGAACCAAAGUUCGAGUUCCGACCACCGGCCAUCAUAGAAUAAAAAUCAGUAUGGUUAAAACUCGAACCUCUAGGUGUUGGAUUCCUCGAUGAUUGUAAAGAGUAAAUCUCAGCAUUAGUUAAAUUCGAUGGCCGGGGGGUAGUCGAAGACAAACCUUGUGACCUUCUCGAAAAAAUAUCAGACCUCGAAGCAUUAGAUUUUCGAACCGUAACAUGCAACUUACCGUCGUCUUUAAUCUCAGCUUCGGUUUCUAACGGCUGCCGACCGUCGAGCGACAUGAUGUCGGAAUCGACAUGGAUAGACACAAUAGAACCAGCAGUGUCGGGGAAUUGUUCAGAGAUUAGCAUCUUAGCACCGCGAUAUUCAAACAUAAAUAGCAUUAAAGUAUACCAAAUGAUACAUUGAAGUACAACGAUUUGUACCAUUAAACUCCCUGAAAAUUCACCAUACAUACCUUUAAGUAAAGGUAUACCCAUAACUAAAGUAUUGGGUAAUGUUGAAAGUGAAAAUAAUGUUAUGGUCCAUUCUAAACAACCCCUUUUACUUACUUUGGACCAAAUGGCUAACACAACUAAAACUAUAAUCUUUUGUAGUGUAUCAGCUGCUAUGAACCGGAAGUUCAUGGUGUACGGAUUGUUUGAAGCUAUGAAAUGAAAUGAAAGUAAUGGAACGGCGAAAAGAGCAACGAACCGGUUGAUGCCGGAACAUUGGUCGGGUGUGAAGAUUUUCCACCAUUUCACUGAACCGUAAGCUAAAAUCAUGGCCACGUAAAGUGGUACCAUUGCGGUCAUAACAUGGUAAAAAUCUGUUAAAGUGAUCAUCUUUGAAACACCCUGCUUACAAGCUUACUAAUAAAAGAGACCCAAAAUUUUACAAGAAGAAGAGGGUUGGUGGCGAUGAUGAGGGAAGAAGAGCAUGUGUUUUUGGGGUUUAGAGAGGAAAGUGAGAACAAGAGAGGGGACGGGGGGGGGGGGAUUUUUUUUUAUACACUAAAACAGCUCUUGAGAGAUGUGAGCAAGCUUUGCACUUCCAGUCCCCAAUGCUUUUGAAAGGAAUAAGGGAAUGGGGGGUUGCUUUUUUAUGGUAGAUUUUGGAGUUUUUGGCUUUAGGUUUUUGUUUUGGUUAAAUUUUACUUUAAGUAGUUGUAUUUUUUAUAAAUUUGGAAUUUAGUUUUUGUAUUUUUAUUUUUUUAAAAUUUAGUUUUUUUAUUUUAGAUUUUAAAAUUCAGGUCUAAUCGUUAAUGUUGUUCAAAUUAUUUUGUUAAAUUCAAGUUUAUUAUAAUGUUAUUUUUUUAGUCACAUUAUUUCUAAACAAUGACAAAUCUAAAAAAUCGCUUUAGGGGCAAAGAUAACUCAUAAAUUUUUGGGUAGAGAUGAACCAUUAAUUUUUGGCUGGUCAAGGUAUAAAUUUAUCAUUAUAUUAACUUAAAAUUUUUAAAUUUUGAAAAGGCAAUACGAAAAUUUUACUAUUUUUGAGAGGUGAAAGCCACCGCUUCC